This 57460-nucleotide long non-coding RNA is filed under the name Hordeum vulgare. RNAcentral's name for it is "long non-coding RNA (HVUL_LNC007238)". Lineage: Eukaryota; Viridiplantae; Streptophyta; Magnoliopsida; Poales; Poaceae. The record is from RNAcentral.
CCUUGUGUAUGUUGGCGUGAUGACGAGAGAAAGGAAAUGCCCUGGAACAAUAGCUGUCCGUAGCACACCCUGCAAUGACUUCGACCAGCGGACCAGCCUAUCCAAUACCCUACGCCAUGACCUUAGAAGUUCGUACCCCAUGAUAUUCAAUGACACCCGUAGACAUUUGAUCAUUCAUACCUCACAGUACGCUUUCUUUCUUUUUUUUGGACUUUGAAUUCCAAGCGAAGGAAGCUCAGUGAAAGAUAGACUGGGAUUUGACAGCAAGAAGAAAGCAAUCAUAGUACGCGGCACACACCGCUGACGAAUGAGAUUGACGUCCCAAACCAACACAGGUUCAAGACUAAGUGCAGAACCAAGAAUGUCGUGGAUAGAAAAGUGAGUGCUUCCUCAAGCUUCAUGAAGGAAGGGUCCAAGGACCUAAGCGACAACCUCUAUGAAAAAGAAAAACCUAUAUAUAGAUAGUGGUAUGUGUUCGCUGACACUAAAUAGACUUGGCUCGGGGCAGAACUGAGUGGCUAGGCUAAGUUCCCUAGUCUUCUAUUGGCCUACCCACCCCUACGACAUGGAGGCGCUUACCCUUCUCCAACAAGCGUUCCACCACGCGGCGAUUGAUUACCGCUUUCCGUCUCAAUCCGUUCCAGACCAAGCCCCUUCUCUGAUCGGGGGAAGGUCAUUCUAAAACAUCAGAUCUCCCAUUGAUGCUGAUCAAAAAUAAGUUUAUCCACCUAGAAUAUAUUCUAGGUACCGAAAGAUUGGAUGUCAUUUCUCAACACCAGGCGGGACGAGCAGCCCUAUACCACGUGUAGCCACACUCUAGUGUCCUUUUCUACUUAGUUGGACAGAUCACUUCAGAAAAUCGUAUAAAAAUCAAGCAAGAAAACGGAUGCGCUAACGCGCAAUGGAUUUCGCGCUAGUUGCUCAAAAAAUCGUAUAAAAAUCAAGCAAGAAAAAGGUUCUGGCAGGCUGCGUGGGACUGUAAAUCCUCUUUCGCUGGCUGGGCCCUUUGGACUCGAAAUCCAAACGGAGUGAGUGGUUCGAUUCCACUCUCAGAACGAGACUGAACGAAAGAAAAUGCAAGUGAAACGAGACGAGAAUCAAAUUGUAGGCUUCUUUCCUAAAAGCGGUGGUUCUCGCCUCCCCGUGCCCAAAGCGGGGUGGGCGACAGCGCUGCGGUUCUUUUCUUUAUCGAUCGGUCGUGACGCCUUUUCCUUUUGUAUGAGAAAGCGCUACAAAACAUCCUUCUCGCGGGUUAUCUUCUACUCAAGCAAGCUCUCUCCUAUUCUUCAUCCACCAACUAGCAGGAACGUAGGAGCACAAGAGGGUCAUCAUCUUCUGAAACGAUUGGCUUUCGAUCUGCUUUCCAAGAGGUGGUUUCUGACAUGACCAGAAAGAGUGGAAUUCUUGUUAGGAUUGGCAUGUCAAGUUGCUUUCUCGGACCCUAACAUAAACCACCUUAUCCUCACUCAGAUUGUUCUUUUGGACUGAGCAGAAGCACGACCUCUAUCUGACGUUUUCUCUAUCCCUUCUAAUCUCUCAAUGGCAUUUCCAUCUCUCGAUUCAAUCAAUCAAGUAAGUCCGGAUGACACUUGUCUUUAUUUAGUGUUUCCCCGGCUAUUCAGCCAUUACUUGCAUCUCAGGUUCUUUGUACCCUUUUUUAGUGCCAUGCACACUGAGGUUUCUGGCAUGACCGAAUCUUUUGAGAAUAUCGCUUAUUACGUUAAUUUCUUCAUCUUGAUGUACUCAAUCCAUUCAAAUUCCAUAAUUCCAAUGCUAUAGUGCCGUUUUUGAGUUCCUGUUUAACGACGAUGCAAGUGUAUUUCAGCAGUGGAUGUUCCCUUCUUUUGUUUUUUGAUUUACAUGUUUUGGCUCGCUUUCGUCUUUUUCUGCGGCUAACUAGUAUAGAAAAUCCAAGUGGACGUUGUUCUUAAACUCCAUAAGGAUUAGAAGGUGGUUCUACCUCGUUGGAUGGCAUUCGUAAGCAGCUAUGAUAUUUCUUAUCUUUGAUUAAGCGAAGCGACCUGGGAUCUUUCAAGGAAUGAGAUCCGGGUAUAUAGUCAUGAUCUAGUGUUUAAGGAUUUUAUGACUGACCUCCUUAUGAGUCAUUUUCUUUACAAUGAAAUUCCGUUAGCUCUGUUUCCUCGCUUCCUCCGGCAAAAAGAGGAUAAUCGGUACCCCGCUGCUUGAUCCUCUCCCNNNNNNNNNNNNNNNNNNNNNNNNNNNNNNNNNNNNNNNNNNNNNNNNNNNNNNNNNNNNNNNNNNNNNNNNNNNNNNNNNNNNNNNNNNNNNNNNNNNNCCGAGUCUUGGGUUUUGUUUGGCCAACUAGAUCUAUGAUUCUUGCAAUGGGAGAAGUGCUUGGUUUUGGGUUCUACCAUGUGGUGACCUUUCCCAGUGACAGUAGGGGCAGCAAGGCACACAUCAAGUAGUUGCCAUCAAGGGUAAAAAGAUGGGGUUUUAUCAUUGGUUUGAGAUUAUCCCUCUACGUCAUGUCAUCUUUCUUAAGGCGUUACUCUGUUCUAAUGGACUUAAUACACUAGAUGCAUGCUGGAUAGCGGUCGACGUGUGGAGUAAUAGUAGUAGAUGCAGAAACUAUCGGUCUACUUGUUUUGGACGUGAUGCCUAUAGAAAUUAUCAUUGCAUAGGUAUCGUCACGACUUUGCGCGGUUCUAUCAAUUGCUCGACAGUAAUUUGUUCACCCACCGUCUACUUGCUUUCAUGAGAGAAGCCACUAGUAAACACUACGGCCCCCGGGUCUAUUCACAUCCAUCGUUUACAUCUCCGCUUUUACUUUGCUUUGUUACUUUGUUGCUUUCAGUUCUCACUUGGCAAACAAUCUNNNNNNNNNNNNNNNNNNNNNNNNNNNNNNNNNNNNNNNNNNNNNNNNNNNNNNNNNNNNNNNNNNNNNNNNNNNNNNNNNNNNNNNNNNNNNNNNNNNNAUUGAUUGUUGUCAUUUCUAUCGGUAGGCUCCGCACCCCCGGAUUCCACCGAAUAUCCGUCUGACGGAUAUUGUCCCUCCUCUGAGCAACAAGGCAAGCAACCAUUUUGAUCAUCCCGAUAAAUCCCAUAUUCUUGCUCCUGCACUUAUUUAUUGCAUUAGGAUCAAAUUCAAAUAGCCGAACCCCUAAACCCACUUCCUUUGCAUGACCUAUCCUUGUCACAGUAAAUAGCCGAACCUUGCAACCUAGCAAACCUGGUAGUUGCUUGAGCCAUGAUGUGCCUUAUCCUGCUAUGCAUGCUAUGCUUAGAUUUGUGUAUGGUCUGUCAUCUGGGAGAUGAAUACAAUUGUGAGAAUGUGUUCGGUAAGCAAAGGUUGUGUGUUAAACUUGAGUUGGUAAAGGUACCGGCGAAAGGCUGUGUAGGAGUACAUGGCGGGUUGUUUCAUUGGAACCGUCCUUAGGAACUGAGUUCCGUGUAUGUAAACCAAGACUAGAUACUACCACAUGCUGGGCCCUGAAAUAUGACCCCGCUCGGCCUAUUAAUCGCUUAGUACUCGGUCCAGGAGUUGCAAGUAGUUUCUGGUGUUUAUAGUAAUGCUGGAGGCCGUGCAUGGUGCUGACAUGAGAGGUGGGCCGUGAUGCGGUAGGCAGUGGCACGGUGUACCAAGUGGCACCCGGAUGGUGGGCUUGGGAACCCUGCGCACAUCGUUUGAAUCCGUGGCGGAAACCUCGGCCGGACUUCCGUACGGGUUACUCUCAGAUAGGCGAUAAACCUGGACUAGGUACUAGUGUGGUUAACGGUCGUGGCCGACUCCCUCGCUGGGCUUCCGCUUGAAGGUUGCCGAGGUGCAUGACGUGCACAUGGCGAUAAGUGGUGAGAGGAUGUGUGACAAAGUACACCCCUGCAGGGUUACGAUCUAUUCGAAUAGCCGCGUCCGCGGCUAUGGACUACUUGGAGACAUAUGUUGUUCAUAGAUAACUGCAAUGGCUACUCAUAAAAUUGUCAAGAUAAGCGUGAGUGUCGUGGACGGCAUUUCCGUAUGGAGACGGAAUGAUUCCACGUUGGUGUAUUGUUGUGGUGGUUAGUGGACUCGUGUGCGAGAAAUCAAGUUGUCAAAAUGAUUUAAAAAUGCAAGUUGUCUAGCCAUGAGUCAAAUGCUGGCUUUCCGCAUGAAACCCCACAAUACCUUAUUGAUACCUUGCAUGAGUAGAUAGUUAUCCUAAAGUCUUGCUGAGUACCUUCGUACUCAUGUUUGCUUAAUAAAUGUUGCAGAGGUUGCUAAUGACCCUAAUGGAGGGUUCUUCGUAGACAUCGACGAUGACGAGUAGCUGGUGUCCCAGCUACGAUCUGGCCCUAGGUUGGGUCUGUAGUAUAGUCACGCCAUGUGCCUUCUAGUUGCACCUGUCUGUACUCAGACAGUUUUAAACUCUUCCGCUGGCUUGUAACUGAAUGACUGUUAUUAUGGGUUGUGAGACCCUUAAUGUGUAAUAUUAUGUGUGAGGCUCUUCCGAGGCUCUUAAAUAAAGUUUGUAUGUUAUGGUUAUGUUGUGAUUCCAUCGAUGUAUCUAUACAUAUCGGUAUGCCAUGCGUACUGUGUUGUACUUGAUAUGUAUGGGGUUCGAUUACCUAGUCGUCAACUUUAGUAGCACUCCUUACAAGGAAAUGCCCCUUUGUGAUCCAAUGAGCCAUGGUACUUCGCUACAGCCCCGGACACAUUGGUUGACCGGCAUGUGUCCUUCUUAGCUGCUGUGUCUGUCCCCUUUGGGGAAACGUCAUGCGAUGUAAUGGAGUCCUUGUAGCUUGCUACGACUCGUCUACACUCGCUGGUGACCGACACCUGCUUUGUUGGGUCAUGUAUGCUUGUCCUUGUGCGGUACUGCCACUUUGGUUUGUGACUAGAAUUGUCGAUCCGGGUUCUUUGACAUUGGAAUGCUAGCGACACUGUUGCAUACGUGAGUCAAAAGACGCAAACGAUCCCUGCUAAGGUAAGGCUGCAGCCGUGGAGUUAACCGUGCGUGAGACCACAAAGAGAUGCGAUGUGUUACAGGCUGGAUUCCUAUGACUUAGGAUCGGCGUCCCGACAGAAAAUCCCCUGGAUCCACCCUGGUGGCAGCGGAGUCUGACCUGGCUUCCUCGCCUUGCCGCCCUUCUUGGCGUGCUCGAGUUUGGAGGUCUUGUUCUUCAGCAUAGUCGCGACGAUGGGGAAAAUCCUAAGAAAAGCUUGCAGGACGAAGGUGGAGAAGAAGAAGCAGGAAACGAUCAAGGAAGGCACAACCUUAACCCUAGCGCCAGCCGCAUUUAUAUAAUCGACCGACUGUGUCACCGACUGGUGGGUCCCCCAGAUCUCAGCUUAUCCCGAUAUCAGAGGAGACGUGACGCGUGGCGAUGAUGAUGGUGUGAUAAUCAAGGCGUCAUUGCUCCACUUGCCCUGCCAGUUGUGUCAUCCCCGUGAGGCACGCAGAAACCAAAAUCUGGAAUCCCGUGAAAUCUGGGCCUGCCUCAGUGAUCCGUCCCAUGAAAAUAUCCCGUCAGUCACUCGGAGUAACUCUAAGCAUCUAAAAUCACUCAGAAAAACUUCACAACAGAAUCGAUCGAGGAGAGUGACGAAGAUUUCAGUCGGCACGAAGUUUCAUCCAUCCCAGGAAAAUGACAAAGGUCAGUGUGGUUCGACAAGAACUCACAUCAACCCCUUCGUCAGUCGAACCCCGAUCCAUUCGGGGGCUAAUGAUGGGGAUAUGUACCUAGGGUAGGGUCACAGGCCUGACCUAAAUGUCCUACCCAAGGGUACCUCAUUAUUAGGCCAAAGGUCACACAGAAGAUUCCGACUGAAUGUACAUGGCACCAACCAGUCACUCAAUACACGUAUAUUAUUUAAAUGCCUUUCUGUGAUGCCACAAAUGGUCUCUUAUGAAGGAAAGUUAUUCUUAUUGCUUUCAAAAUAUUUGAGAAAAUUUAGGGAAACCCAGUGGACAUAUAUAUUUCAUAUAUAUGAGUUUAAUCACAUGGUCAUGUUCAAAAUAUUGGGCAAACCCCUUCAAAACCCUUCCUGCCUAUUUCAAACUUUUGGAAUAUUUCUAUAAGAAAUGUUCUCCAUUUAUUCCUGUAAAAUUCUACCAUGUCACAUAUGAUAUAUGUGAUGAUCUUGCCAAUUUAGCAACUCUACAUUGCCAAGUGUCUCCAAUUGUGCUCAAAUUUGGUGGACAAGUUUUGAUACUCCAAUAAUGCAUCCACACCAAGUGGUGCAUCAAGGAGAAUAGAAGAACUUGUCCCAAGACCCUCAAAACCCUCCCUGUUGAUUUCAGACUUUGGGAAACUUUACAUUAUAAAGUUUCUCGAAUUGACCCCCAAAAUUUUUGGGCAUGCUUUAAUGCUCAAAUAAUGCCCCCACACCAAAUACUGGAUUUGUGGGAAUAGAUUUGAAUAGCUUUGUAAGCAGAAGGCCACUUCUGCCCAUUUCAUGGGUUUUCCAAGUCUACAUUGGAAAUCUUCUCCACCAAAUCACAAAUUUGGUGUCCAAGCUUAUUUUCAUUUUUUUGAUGCCGUUAAGUUUCAUAUCCAUUGAUGUCCAUAUGGUUGCCGUGACACUCAUCAAACACCUUGUGUGCACUCAAUUUAUUGGCUAGUUUGACCCCUUCCACUUUCACCCUUGAGCUCAACUUUCUACCACAGCCUCUCCUAGUUACCUUUUUACUCCAGUAGCUUUGCCAUGGCAACUAAACAAUUAUUGGAGAGAUGCCCGUUGUAGCUACUUCUCAUUUUACGCUUGGAAUCAUCAUUUUUACUCCUCUUGCCCCACUUCUGUUUAAGCCAAAGCCCCCAUCUCUUUCCAGAGAGCCCCUAGCAUCCCAAGGCAUCAUUUCAAACCAAGAUAUGAUAUACUCAUGUGGAGAAAAUGAGCAGCACAUCUGCAAGUUGAAUUGUGGCUGAAAUGUAGCUUUGUACACCAAUUACUAGCUACCCUCCUUUGAUUGAUCUCAGACUUGGCAUUGUGGUAGUCCUUCCAUGAAUAAGACUAGUAGUCCUUCCAUGAAUAAGCUUUGCAAGAAAUGUGACUUAGGAAUUGGUCACGGGAUCUUGUAUUACGAUACAAGUAAAGAGACUUGCCGGUAACGAGAUUGAACUAGGUAUGGAGAUACCGACAAUCGAAUCUCGGGCAAGUAACAUACUGAAGGACAAAGGGACCAACAUAUGGGAUUAACUGAAUCCUUGACAUAGAGGUUCAACCGAUAGAGAUCUUCGUAGAAUAUGUAGGAGACAAUAUGGUCAUCUAGGUCCCGCUAUUGGUUAUUGACCGAAGAAUGUCUCAGGUCAUGUCUACAUAGUUCUCGAACCCGCACAGUGUGCACACUUAAGGUUCAAUGACGUUUCGCUAUAGUUGAGUUAUAGGUGUUGGUGAUAGAAGGUUGUUUGGAGUCCUGGAUGAGAUCCUCGAUGUCGCGAGGAGCUCUGGAGUGGUUCGGAGGUAAAUAUUGAUAUAUAGGAAGUCCUGUUUUGGUCACCGGAAAAGUUUCGGGCUCAUCGGUAGUGUACCGGGAAUGCCGGGAGGGUAUCGGGGACCAUCGGGAGGGGUGUCAUGCCCCGAGGGGCCUCAUGAGCUCUGGGAGGAGACAAACCAGCCCCUAGUGGGCUGGUCUAAGCCCCCACUAAGGCCUAUGAGGUUUGAGAAGGAAAAAACAAAAAGGUUGAAGAGGAGGAAAGGGUUUCCAAGUGGUGAUGAGGAAUCCUACUACUAGUAGGAUUGGAGUAGGAAUCCUCCACCUCUAAUUUUGGCCGAACCUUGAGGGUGUGAGGCUUCCUCCUCCCCUCCCUCCCUCCUAUAUAUACUAGAGGAAUUAGAGGCAGCCCUAACCAUAAUUGCCACGUGCUCCCUCUACUUCUCGCUAGGUCUGUUUCUCCUCUAGUCUAGUUCGGUAGUGCUUAGGCGAAGCCGUGCUGGAUUAGUGCACCACCACCACCACCGCGCCACCGUGCUGCAUAACUCAUCUAUCUCUCCACCCCUCUUGCUGGAUGAAGAAGUCGGGGAUCGUCAUCGAGCUGUACUUGUGUUGAAUGCGGAAGUGCCGUCCGUUCGGCACUAGAUCGGGAUAGAUCGUGAUGGGAUCGCAGGACAGAUCGUGAUGGGAUCACAGGACAGAUCGUGAUGAGAUCGCGGGAAGGGCUGCGAUUUGGAUCGCGAAGAUGUUCCACUACAUCAACCACAUUAUAUACGCUUUCACUUAACGAUCUGCAAGGGUAUGUAGAUUCACUCUCCCCUCUCGUAGAUGAUCAUCACCAUGGAUAGGUAUUGCGUGCGUGUAGGAAACUUUUUGUUUCCCAUGCAACGUUCCCCAACACUUCCCCACACUUCCACCAAGAGAAAAUUUGUUCCCCCCAUUAAUCCCUCGCGGAUCUUGUUACUCUUGGGUGUUUGAGCACCCUAGAAGGAAUAUGUCACCACGAAGCCAUACUCCAUUAUGGUGAAGCUUCGUGAUCUCGUUGGGAGCCUCCAAUUAAGUUGUGGAGAUUUCCCCAACCUUAUUUGUAAAGGUUCAGUCACUGCCUUCAAGGGCACCACUUAGUGGAAUCACGACACCUCGCAUUGUGUGAGGGCAUGAGGAGAAUAUGGUGGCCUUAGCGGCAUCUUGGGGAGCAUUGUGCCUCCACACUGCUCCAACAGAGAUGUACUUCGCUUCAAAGGGAUGGAAGUUUGGAAACAUAUCCUAGUCUUCAUCGGUCCACUUGUGGUUAUUUCUCACCUUUACUUAUAUUUACUUCUUGCUUAUUAUUGUUAUUGUUAGCAUCAUAUAUCUUUCUCACUUAGUUGCAUAUCUAGACAACCUAUUUGUUGCUAAAUCUAAUUUGGUUAAAGAAAAGUUUAAAACUGUUAGUUGCCUAUUCACCCCCCUCUGGUCAACAAUAUCAAUCCUUUCAGUAACCAAGUAGGAAACCUUCAUGAGAUUUAGGAGCAAAUUUUAAAUGACAAUGGUUAUCAAGAAUGUAGCACUUUGAGAAAAAUACCCGAAAGUAUCCAACUUAGGGUUUGUUACCUAUGAGUAGCUUGUAUGUCAUUUGAGUGAGAAUCUUGUGUAGGUAGAGUCAGUUUGUUCCAUGACAAGUUAUUUCCACGGCUUUUGCCCAAAAGAGUCUUGGUGUCUUGUAUUCGUCGAGCAUCAUUCUAGCCAUCUCUAUGAGAAUCCGGUUCUUCCUCUCAAUAUCUUCAUUUCUUUGAGGUUAUACGUAGCCGAUAAGUCAUGUGAUAUAACUUCUUCAUCAAGAAAGGUGUCCACAUUGGUGUUCUUGAACUCCGAUUCAUUGUCGCUCUGAACUUUCUUAAUCUUCACUUGAAAAUAAUUUUGGAAUUUCUGAGCGAAGUUCUUGGAGAUCUUUUGUACACGAUAUUUUUCAUCAAGAAAUAAUACCCAUGUAAAUAUGGAAAAAUCAUCAACUGUAACUAUGCCAAUAGAAUUUCCACCGAGGAUCUUGUAGGCAUUGGAACCAAAGAGAACCAUCUGAAGCAGCUCGAGUGGUCUCCUAGUAGUGAUGAUGUUCUUCGCAGGAUGACUUCCACCUACUUGUUUUCCUUCUUGACAAGCACUAAAAUGUCUACCUUUGUCAAAUAUAACAUCUUUAACACCAAGUAUAAGAUUGGCUUUGAUAAGCUUGUCUAGAUUACGGAUACCAACAUGUCCUAGCCUUAUAUGCCAUAGACAACCUUUAGAUGAUUUUGCAAUAAGAAAAGUACAAUGUUUGGCUCUUUUAGUGAAAUUGACAAUAUAUAGAUCACCUCUAUGAAAGCCAGUGAAUACCAUGUUAUCUUUAUCUUGUCGAAACACUUGGCAAUCAACUUUUGUAAAUAGCACACUGAAACCAAAUUGAGCUAGUCUAGAUACGGAAAGAAGAUUGUAGCCAAGGGAUUCAACAAGCAUGACAUUUUGAAUAGAACUAUCAUGAGAUAUGACCACCUUAGCAAGACCUAGUACCUUACCCUUGGAGGUGUCUCCAAAAGUCACAUACCUUCGUGGUCCAUGGUUUGGUGUGAUAUCUUGAAACAUGCCUCUAUCUCAAGUCAUGUGAUCGGUUCAUUGAUACGUCUUCAACGUAUCUAUAAUUUUUGAUUGUUCUGUGCUAUUAUGUUAUCGUUCUUGGAUGUUUUAUAAUCAUUUUAUAGCAAUUUUAUAUCAUUUCUUGUGACUAACCUAUUUACAUAGUGCCUAGUGCCAGUUGUUGUUUUUUCCUUCACAGAAAAUCCAUAUAAGACGAGGCCAAUUACCACGAAACUUUACGAAGAUUUUUUUGUACAAGAAGGAAACUUGGAGGCCAAGAAUGAGCAGCAACCAAGGCCCAACAAGCCCACUAGAGACCACAGCCCGCCAUAGGCCGCCGGCGCGGCCUGGUGUCCAAUGGGGCCCUCCCGAACCUUCUGCACCACCUCUCAGCUCAAUAAAAAACCCAAUAUUCCAGAAACCCUAGAGGAGUUGACUAAAUAUCGUUUCAGCCGGUGCAAGUUCGAGAGCUACGAAAACCAACGUAGAGCCUUUUCCAGAAAAGAACACGAUCAUGGAGGGGUUCACCAUAUCCAUUGGUGUUCCUCCCAUGAUGCGUGAGUAGUUCAUAUUGGACCUACGGAUCCGUAGGGAGUAGCUAGAUGGCUUUCUCCCUCGUUAUGUUUCUCAAUACAAUGGUCUCUUGGAGAUCCAAAUGAUGUAACUCUUUGUUUUUGAAAGUGCAUUAUAUCGACUAGAGGGGGGUGAAUAGGCGAUUAUUAGAAUUUCAUCGCUGAGGAAAUUCCUUGUGAGGAAAGUCCUCAAUGACGCAUUAAGUGAAGUGGAAAUAGCGCAGGAUCAGGUGUGGAAAAACUUCAGUAGCAUAUGACUUGUUGAGGAUAAUGAGAAUCGAUUUGCACAAUUCGCAAGUACAGAGUAAGCAGGUGAAGAUUAUCUUAAGUGAAGAAUUUGGGGUUGAGGAAAUUCAGACGAAGUCUUCAAACAAAUUCUUCAACAAUGCAUAUCAAAGUCUUCAACAUAGAAUUCGAGGAAAUGAAAGAGUUGAAGAAAUAGAACCCGUAUCACGAUGAAGACAGUUGUUGAUGACCCAAUUCCAACUGCUCUGACAGUUGUACGUCUGGUUUGGAGCGGCUUGGUAUUGAAACCAAAGGACACACAGUCCCUACCGUAUUCUCGUUGAGAUAAGGACACAUAGUCCUCACCCAACACUCGUGGUAAGUCUUCAGGGUAGACUUCCAAACCCUCACAAACUCGGUCACUCGGCGAUCCAAAAUUGAUUGGAGGAUGCUGUAGACCAUGACGCCUAACCAUCUGGAGGAUGCACAAUCCACAAAGGUAAACGACUUCAGUUCCACACACGAACAAACUCUUCAGUGAUGCUCAGUCAUUUGGUUUUUGGUUUGGGGUUGGUUGUUUGGGGUAUUUCCUCACUCGAUGGUUUUCUCUCGAAGACUCUGAGGAAUUUGGGUUGCUCUAAAUGACAAGUGUUAGUUUUUCUCGGAGCAGCCAAGCAGAUAGUGGUUAUGAGGGCCGCUAUUUAUAGCCUAGGAGCAUCGCGACAUGAUUUUACAUAAAUGCCCAUAAAUAAUGUGACCGUUGGGUGGAUAAGAUCAGUGAGGUGGCGCGUUGCGCGACAACGGUCGGAACUUUCAACUGUGAAAGUCCUCAUGUCUCUCAUAUUCCUCACUUUGAGGCUUUGGUAGAUUUAGGCUUGGGUUGAGCAUCAUGAGGAAAUUCAUUUCUUAGUAUUACUUCGACCCCCUUUAACAGUAUGGUGUUCCUAUGACUCAAGAGUAAAGAAAAUGAAACACAAAGAGUAAAUCUUCAUGCUUCAAAGUAUUCAGACAAUUUUUCUUCAGGACACACCGAAUUCCUCAUCUUUAAUAUCUUCCUGAGGAAUAUCAAUUUCAUCGUCAUUUCUUUGCGAUCAAAGUCUUCAAGGUAAGACUAAAGUCUUCAACCAAAGACAUACAUUUUUAGGGGUCGAUAUUCAUCGUAUAACUCAAACUCCUCAGCGACAUAAAGAGCUUGUGUACACUUACAAACACAUUAGUCUCUUAACCUAUAAGUCAUCAAACCACCAAAAUCACUAAGGGCACUAGAUGCACUUACAAUCUCACCCAUUUUGGUGGUUGAUGGCAAUUAGGUUAAGUUUUCAAUGCGGAUAAUAUUAUGAAAUGUAAGUACUAAGUUUGAGGAAUUUGAAAUCAAGAUACCAAGAGACUCCCCCUGAAGAUGUGCAUAUUUUGAGGAAUUUGUUUUGCACAGCACAUGCACAUUGAUGAUUUAUAUCAUGGAGAUCUCCCCCAGUAUCUUGUAAAUCAUGCAUACAUUUGACAUAUAAUAUGAGGAAUUGAAAAUCCAUGAUAAAAAAUUGUAACACCCUCUGCUUAGCUUUCCUGACUAAUUAACUUAUUUCAAAAAUUAGGACCAAUUAAAUUUUUUGUGAAUGCUUGUUUGUUUAGUUGCUUGCUUGUAUGCGUGUGGUUGAUUCUCAAUAAUUCCUGUUACUCUCUAGACUCACCUCGUUAGCCCAAAACUCCUACCUAAUGAUCAUGCCAUGUGUUUAGGACGAAAAACUAUUUUUACCAAAUAUUAUUUUCACCAAAAAGCUUUUCUUUGAAUUAAGCUUUCAAAACCCCUAAGAUGGGAUUUGUACUACAAGUCCACAAAUUAGGGAAUUUAUUUUGCACCAAUUAUUUUAUUUAAAACCUAUUAUCAAAAUUACUUCCCAAAACCACAAUAUUAAUAUUUAAAAAUAAUUUUUCUAUUUUAUUUAAAUGCCUUUCUGUGAGGCCAGAAAUGGUCUCUUAUGAAGGAAAGUUAUUCUUAUUGCUUUCAAAAUAUUUGAGAAAAUUUAGGGAAACCCACUGGACAUAUAUAUUUCAUAUAUAUAUGAGUUUAAUCACAUGGUCAUGUUCAAAAUAUUUGACAAACCCCUUCAAAACCAUUCCUGCCUAUUUAAAACUUUUGGAAUAUUUCUAUAAGAAAUAUUCUCCAUUAGUUCUUGUAAAAUUCUAGCAUGUCACAUAUGAUAUAUGUGAUGAUCUUGCCAAGUUUCACCUUAAUCCAAGUUGAUUUGAUUCCCCUAAUUAUUCCAAAACCCUAUGCGUUCAGAUCCAAAAUUUAGCAACUCUACAUUGCCAAGUAUCUCCAAUUGUGCUCAAAUUUGGUGGACAAGUUUUGAUACUCCAAUAAUGCAUCCACACCAAGUGGUGCAUCAAGGAGAAUAGAAGAACUUGUCCCAAGACCCUCAAAACCCUCUCUAUUGAUUUCUGACUUUGGGAAACUUUACAUUAUAAAGUUUCUCCAAUUGACCCCCUUAACUUUUUGGGCAUGCUUUAAUGCUCAAAUAAUGCCCCCACACCAAAUAUUGGAUUUGAGGGAAUUGAUUUGAAUAGCUUCGUAAGCAGAAGGCCACUUCUGCCCAUUUCAUGGGUUUUCCAAGUCUACAUUGGAAAUCUUCUCCACCAAAUCCCAAAUUUGGUGUCCAAGCUUAUUUUCAUAUUUUUUAUGCUGUUAAGUUUCAUAUCCAUUGAUGUCCAUCUGAUUGCCGUGACACUCAUCAAACACCUUGUGUGCACUCAAUUUAUUGGCUAGUUUGACCCCUUCCACUUUAACCCUUGAGCUCAACUUUCUACCAUAGCCUCUCCUAGUUACCUUUUUACUCCAGUAGCUUUGCCAUGGCAACUAAACAAUUAUUGGAGACAUGCCCCUUGUACUACUUCUCAUUUUACGCUUGGAAUCAUCAUUUUUACUCCCCUUGCCCCACUUCUGUUUAAGCCAAAGCCUCCAUCUCUUUCCAGAGGGCCCCUAGCAUCCUAAGGCAUCAUUUCAAACCAAGAUAUGGUAUACUCAUGUGGAGAAAAUGAGCAGCACAUCUGCAAGUUGAAUUGUGGCUGAAAUGUAGCUUUGUACACCAAUUACUAGCUACCCUCAUUUGAUUGAUCUCAAACUUGGCAUUGUGGUAGUCCUUCCAUGAAUAAGACUGGUAGACAAGGUUUCACCUCAAUUUCCCUUCUGGGAAAACCACUUUUGCCAGCCCCUAGUUUCUUAUUGCAAACUUAACCACAGUCAAAACCACACCUAACCAACCUUAGAUGCUUCCAAACUCCAGAGUCUCCUUCCUGCAUGUGUGCCCUACGUGUUGGACAUGUUUGACUGGUCAGGAGUGCCGUGUAGACAUGAGUGGUCGCGGUGACCACACUCACAUCAUGCAAUAUUGGUGCUCUACCCCUUGUCCUCUUGCUGCAGCUUGUUUCCGGCCGUUGCAACGUGUCUCACAGCACCGGGGGAUUCCAUUUGAUUGGUGCAAGUCCUUCCCGAUGCCUAGAAGCGACCAAAUCUCCCCAGGGACGCGUGUCUUCCCCGUGUUCUCAGAGCUCCGAGAGCUCCCGAGAUUCCAUCGUCUACCCCCUCCAUUUUUACCUCUCUCCCCGAACCCCGCUGCAUCACCUCUUCUUCCCUCACUUCCUAGCAACCUCCCGAGCCUCCCAACCAGCCGGAGGCUGCCCCGAGACCCUCCUCUUCUACCAUGGUCGCCAUGGCCGUUUCGGCCAUGCCCGGAUCCAAGCUGCCCUAGCCUCCCUCCUUCUCCCUAGGGCCUCCAGGAGAACCCCCAGACCCUGCAGCGCCUUCCCCAUUCUUCCUCUUCCCUUUGGGUGGAUGGAGCUCCUCUCCCGUGGCCGCCAUCUCCGCCCUCUGCCGUAGCCAGGGCGCAGCUUGCCCUGAGGCUCCUGGCGGGCACCAACACCAGGCUGGGUGCGUCGUAGCUCCCUGGACCGCCGAUGGCCUGAGCUCCGCCCGACGUUGUUGGAGCUGCCAGAACCAGGCGGAGCGCGAUCUCCUCCGUGCCUCCCUGCGUGCGAGCAUGAGGUAGGAGAAGGCCCUGGCAAAGGUUCCCCCCUCUAAACCUCCCCCAGCCGGACCCAUCCCCAUAAGUGGAGGCGGGUUCCUCCACGCGCGCCUCCUUGCGCUAGAAAGCGUAAAGGGUGCUGUGCGCCAUCGGCGUGGCCACUUCGCUGGUAGCUAGCGCAUCUAGGACGGCCCAGCUUCCUAUCGGUCGCCCUGAACGCUUAAUAGCAUUCCUGAUGGCCCUCCCUCCGUUGUUUUUCUCUUAUCAGUAAACUUCAAAAUUCCAUAUUAAAUUCAUUCUUGAUCCAAAUCUGAUGAUUCAAAUAUGUGCAUGACACAUUUUUCGAGAGCAACUUUCCGGGGUGUUUUUAAUUAAAUCCAAAUCUGGAUAUUUUAAGCAACACCUUGUGAAAUCCCUAUAAGGCUCAAAUGAUCUCCAAAUGGAGUGAUUCCAAUUUCCAGAGACUUAUUAUGUCAUCCCCUAUUUUUGAAGCCUUGGUAAACCUUUUUGUAUGACUUAUUUCCGUUUCAAUAAAUAAAUAGCUCCCUUUUGCUAUUUAUCCAGUAUUGGAAAAUCCCUAGAUUAUUCACCUCAUUUCCAAAUCCAGUGAGAUAACCUUCUAAAUGUUUCUAAAAUUGUACUCUAUUAAAUGAGUGCCUCCACUCACUUUUAUCUUGAUAUUUUCUGUGGGCUUCUUUAAAGAUCACCUAUUCCCCUCUCAUCCCUUCAAAAAUCCAUGCUGGUCCAACUCUCCUCUAGCAAGGUUCAGGUAUUUUUCUUAUGACCAGAGUGGUCGAAGAAAAAUAUAACUUCCAUUUUUAAAACACUUUUGUUCUACUUGCCAUGUGGCUGACUAUGAUUGUUUUCGAUGAUAGUUGACGAGUAGACGGAAUACUCAGAGUUGGACCGAAAGACCUCGAAGACCCCGAGGACUUAUGUGAGCAAAGGCAAGCAACCCUUUGACCAUGUUUGAGCAUAUAUUAUAUUGCAUGCUAAGUAGAACAAAUAUUUCCGUUGCAUGUGAUCGUAAGUACCGGUAAAUCAAUAAAGUCAUGUUACCUAUGGCUCCUCCAGAGCAAUUGCAUUUUGUGCAUGAUCCUACCACCUAUGAGGGUCACGCUCAUAUCAUGUUGACAAGUAGAGCUAAGAAUAGUAGUAGCAUGAGCAUGAUGAUGGUAUAGAUCAAAGGUUUAUGAAAACCCCGUGGGGUGCCACUAAUGCCCGAGGGUGAUGAUGAGAUAGGUGGCCACUUUUGGUGAAGUGGUGCACCGGGUAUUUUGUGUGUGUAUGGUUUCGGAAAUGGGAAUAUAUUUAUGAUGUGUUGACCGUCCCAACCUUACAUGUGCGACCACGAUACCCCUUUAUGGGACGGGGCUUUGUUGAUUACUCUGGUCGGUGCUAGCAAAGAGCCACAUUACCAGUGGCAGGAGUGAUGUGUGGUCACGCUCGAGACGGGGUCGUGUCAGGUAGGACGACUAUGCCGUCUUUACGUGUUCAGGGCACACCGUUGGUCCCUGCAUGGAUGAUACUGUCCAUAGUCGGUGCUCGUAAGACAUACAUCAUGUGGGCUGGGUACCAAUCGAGUGGACGUCUUUGUCUAGUAUCGUGAGCGGAAAGGCAUUGAUCGGGUACUUACCUCGGGUAUAUUAUAUACCACGAGUCGUGGAUGACACGCAAGUUUCCCGGAUCUCGUGGGUAUAGCGUACAACCUCUACAGAGUGUAAAACUAUUCGAAUAGUCGUGUCCACGAUCAAGGACAGUUGGGUAAUCCUGCUUAAACUAUGUCCAGUCAUUUCCGUAUAAACCAAGUGUGUGUGAGUGUGUGUUAAAUGGUGUUAUUAUGAAAGAGUUGAUAUGACCAAGUUUGGUGACUUGGCAUAUCGGGUGAACCCGGAGUGUUCAGCCCUUGAUAGAUAUGUUGCUAUAUGUAACCCGUUCUUCUAAAUACCAUUUAGCUUAUGUUCCACAUCCAUGAACAUGUUUAUUUACAGUCAAGCUGUUAUCCACCAAAACGUCACAUUACUUGCUAUUCUACCAAUUGCAUCGUUCACAUCAUGGGUUGUUUGCGAGUACAUUCAAAGUACUCAUUGGCUUGCCACAAGUUAUUUCAUUGACCAGGUAUGAGAGAACAUGAUUUGGUGAAGAGUAACUCGGUGACGUUCUUGCGAGCUAGGACACUUCCCAGUCAAAAUGCCUGUAGGUUAAGGCUAAUGAAAUGGGUUCACGCAUUCGACCAAUAGUUCCGCCAUUGGUCUAGUUUGGUGUGUUAGCCAUCAAGGCCCUAUAUAUGUAAGACUUGACCGAAAUGGUCAUUUAUUGUAUCAAACGGUAUGUAUGGAUGUAAGACUCUUAAUAUUUAGUAUCUGUGUGUUCAGUGAGCAUUGAUCUCUGGGAUCACUGAGCACGUUCAUUUGGCGGUCUCGACUCGUAAGUCGGGGUCCCCACAAAAAUGGUGUCUGCCGAAUUUCAUCAUGCCUGCAUUAAUAGACUUUGAGGAAUAAGCAUGCAAAGAAAAACGUUCAAAAGAGUCAGAGCACCAUCGAGCUUAAGUUACAACUCAUUACAUCAAACACUUCAGAAGAGCCAAUAGUUUGUAACUUAAUAAAGUUUAUAAGCCCCAAAAUAGAUCCCGCUUGAAGACUAACUCUUAGAUUUCUCCCCCUUUGUCAUCAAGUGAUGAAAAGGGACAAAGCUGAGGACUAACACCCUUGAAAAAAAUCACUUCUUGGUUGAUGUAGAGGCGUGAGGAUUCUUGGAGACAUGCUUCUUCCUUGGACCAGUUGUAGUGUCUUCAGGUUCUUCAUCUAAUUCAGCAGUGCAAAAUGAAGAAAAUGAAUUGUCCUCCAAGUCAGGAACUGGAAUUGGCUUGAAUUUCUUCUUUGGAGGGCACGACCAGUCAAAGUCUUGAGUAAAUUCCAAUUCCUCAAGUUCCUCUUGAGUCUUCAAAUGAGCCAACGUUGCCCAAGUGUGAUCAAACACCUCAUGAAGAUAAUAGUGAUUUUUCUUCACUGCAUUCUGAGUCUCGUUGAGGGUUUUCACAAUGGCACCAAACUGUCGGUUCACCCACUUGUGAUUGCGAUCGACUUUUUGAUGAAGACCGAGGAGUAGCUCUAUGUUAGUCAUCACUCUGGGGGUAGUUGGGUUUGGAGGCUCUUGAGUUGUAGUGUCAUCAUAUGAGGAGUAUGAAUCGGCCUUGCGAAAUUGGCCAUCAAGGGGCCGAUUUCCUUCAUCUAUCAUAGACUUGCCUUUGCUUCAACAGGUUCAAACGAUUUCUUAAUGACUUUUAUUGGUGGCAGAUAUCCGAGGUGAUUCUGAAAAUCAGCUUGAUAGUUGAUGCCUGACCUGUUUAUAAUGAAUCUCAUGAUCCAAGGCGCAUAAAUCUUCAAUUCAAAUGGUGACAAAGCAUUGUCAGCCAAAGUCCUCAAGAAGAAAUCAUAAAGAUUCAUAGGUAUGCCAUGAAUGGCAUUGAACAUGAUAUUCUUGACGAUGCCUACGACAUCUUCUUCAUCAUCAUGCCCUUUGAUAGGAGCAAUGACAUAAGACAUGAUUCUGUGCACUGUUCUGGGUUCAUACUUCAAGGCCUGUACCAGAAAUCGAGUCCUUGGGGGCUGGUCCUUGGCCAAAGGCUUCAUGAGGACUUCCAUCAGCUUGUUGGACAGUUCUCGUUCAUAAACAUUAGAACUGCAUCCUCUAAGGUAAUGGAAAUUGGGAGAGCUCAAAGCAAUUCAGUGGCAGGAGCUUUGUAGUGCGUGUGCUGAGUCAUCCAAUCCAAUACCCAAGUGUCGACAUACUUUGGGUCGCCUGAGAUGUGCAGUGUGGUAUAAAAUUGAAGAAUGAUGUUAGUGUUCCAAUCUCCGAUGUCAGCAUAGAAAGGCAGUAACCCAACUUCGUGAAGAACACUGAGGACUGGAGCAAAGCAAGGUAUUUCCUCCAUAUCAUAGUGAGGAAUAUGGGUAUGUUUAAAUAUCUUGUCUCUCCCAUAGAGCACAGAAGCAUAUUAGUUGAGCUGAUUUCUUGUCCAGAACUUCCUGUGUCUGAUGCGAAGGUUAUCAUAUGGAUUUUCACCAGUGAAGUACAUGCGUUCUUCAUAGAAUGCCUCUUUCUAAAACUUUGGCCGUUUGGAGAAAGGCUGAUUUUGCUGAGGUUGAAGAUUGUGCCGUUGUUAUUGAGGAGUAGCCACCACCAUUCCCGUUUCUGUGUUCACCACAACAAUAGCGGUUUCAGUGUUGGGUGCAGGAGCAUUUUCUUCAGUUUGAGCAUUUUCCUCAGUUUGAGGAUUCUCUUCAGCUUGAGGAAUUUGCUUGUUGGAGGAGGCGGUUGCAAUAUUUGAUGCUGCAUUGUCUUCAGCUGAUGUAGCGAAUUCUUGAGCAGACUCCUCACGAAUGCUUCUUCUAUCAGAACCAGUGAGAAUCUCAGUUGCAGCAGGAGUUGGAGGGAUUUGAUUUGACCUUGGCGAGCGUGGAUGAGUUUCUUCCCAGAAAUCAUCCUGGAUUACAGGUGUGCUGCAUCCAAUGUCAUCAUCAUCAAGUUGUUCCUCAGUGGUCUUUGGAGGAGUGGUGGACUGAGGAAUAUCAUCUAUUUGUAUUUCCUCAUCCAUUACUUCAUCCUCUUCAGCAUCAUUCAUUUCUUCACCUUCUUAAGGAAUGACAUAGUCAACUCUGAAGGGAACGAUCAUGCAUGAUGGAGCUACAUUCAGAGGAGUAGCAUCCACCGGGGCUGAUGAAGAUUCUGACUAAGUGAUCUUCAGACGUUUGGCCUUUCAGGAUUCUGAGGCCAUUGAAGCUUUUCUCUUUUUGGCUUCUUUCUCAACCGCUUUCGUUUUCUUCACGUCUGAUGAACACGAAGUCACUUUCUUCACCUUUGAGGGUUGCGGUGAAGGGACAAUUUCAUCAGGCACUGGUUUAGUGUGAGGCCUGCCAGUUUCUUCAGCUGGAGCAGUUUCUUCAGCUCGAAUAUUUUGAGGAAUUUCCUCAACAGCAGGUUCAUCAAUUUUAUCUUCCUCACGUAGCUGAACAAUAUAGCUUCGCUAAGGUGGUGUUUGCUGCUUUGGAGGGGCAGUUCUCUUGUUGUAUUCAUCAACAACAGCUGUUGCAACCUUGAUGAAUUUCACUUUUACGCCUUGACGAUCAGAGUGAAGACUUGUAUACUUGUCUGUGAGGGUUUUGAGUUCAGCCUGAGUUGAUACAAGUGCUUUAGGCAUCAGGUUGAGGAGAUUCUUUUUGAGGAAUUUCUCCUUUUUGAUUUUGGCAGCCCUUGCUUGCUUGGCUUACUGCUCUUUCCACUUUUCUUCACUGAUAAAAGUAGCAACCAUAUGGCCGACACGAGGGGAAGCUUUAAGUCAUCAACUGGUGUGUUUGGAUCUUCAUACCAGAGGUCGAUGAAAUCCAGCAAUACCUUCAGAUCCAUAGCUAGAGGAAUGGAACUGCUGGAGGCUUGUGCAACAUGUUCCUGUUUGUUUCUGAUGAUUGCUUGGAGUGUUUCAUCAUCAAAUUCUUCACUUGCUUCUGAUGAAGAAGGAACGUUGAUGACUUUACUAGGACUUGGCCUGAUGCCUCUGCCAGCAGUCAUUUUAGUCUUCAACAGAGUGGGUGAAGACUUUGUAGCACAGCCAGUGGCAGAUGGCACCGAGGAACUUGAUUGUGCAGGUUGAAACUUACUCAGUUGCUUCUGUUGUGGGGGUGAAGACUGUCGUGUUGUUGAAGAUUUUGUAGCCAUUGCAGCCUUCUGAGGCAAUUGCUCUUUUGGCGCUGUAGUAGAAGCUUUGGGUUUCUUCAGCAAAGUCUUCUUUUGAUGAAUUUCUGUAGUAGAGGCCUCAACAGCUGAAGAAGUGGCAGCAGUGGCUGCAGCAGUAGAAUCCUCAUUGAAUUUCUUCACAGCCGCUUCUGCCUUCUUCUGUAACUUAGACAAAUAUUUGUCUUUCUCAUCUGGAUAAUCCUCAAUAUUUCUACACUUGAGGGAUGAGCGACUUGUUGAUCACCCUAUGGAGGCCUUUUGCAAGGUGGCUUGAGGGUGAAUUUCUUCGCAUAUUUUGGAGUCACAUAUCUGUACUCCUUCCACUCCUUAGCCCACCCGCGCUCAAUCUUUUGAAGCCUUAUCUUGCGCUUCGCCAUGGUCUCUUUACCAUGUAUUUCCUCAUCAAGAGUACAAUAAUCAGCAUAUAUGUCUUCAGGUAUUUCAAAUGUUGUAUUUUGUACCAGCUUCUUUCCUCCUUUCUUCUUCUGAUCAUCCUCCAUUUUCUUUAACUGAGGCUUUUGCUGAGGAAUCUGAACUCUUCAUGAUUCUGAAGACACAGGUAAAUUUUCUUCGAGGAAUGCUGCAAAUGAGUUAAGUUGAUGAGAAAUUAGAGAUUCAUCACCUGACAUUUUUGGACCUGUGAAUACAGUAUAGGUGCGAAGAAUUUGGGAAGGUCAUAUGUGUUCUCAGAUUUGAAGAAAUUGAUUUUUUUAAAGUUGAGGAAUUGGACUAAGCAUUCUGAUCUUGUGUUCCAGAGUUGUGCAGAUUUGAGAAUUUACACAAUUGACGAAUCAACUGUUUGAGGAAUGAGUGUACAUGGCCGACAGACUUUCUCAGGAAAAACAGAUUUCGCGAGUCUAAAGUGAAUUAAAAGAUCAACAUAGGCAGUAAAAUAGGAUUUUAUUUACCCGGUGCAAAGAACACGAAGAACUGGAGCAGUAAAAGAGAGAAGUUCCUCCGUUCAGAUCUUCAGCGCCCUAACUUGGCAACUCAAAUCAGCUACGGUGGCGGCGGAAGACGAUUUUCCGUGGUCGGCGUGAGUCCGACAACGGCGAGGGCGAGGCAACAAAGCUUUUCCUCACCGGCGACGAGGAUGGUAGCGGUGGCGCUAGGAUUGAGCUAAAGCGGAGAAGACGAGAGGACGAAGAGCCUUGAGUGAGGGGGUUAAGGGCCUAUUUAUAGCUUAGGUAAAAAACUAUUCGGCCGAAACUUUCGGACUGAACUUCCUUUGCCCCUUAGUCUCCACAUGACAUGUGGUACCCACGACUUAAGCGGUGGAGUUCAUGGUUAUCCGAUCAUGAGAAGUAGGUCCGGUAACUGUGUAUCGAUAUAAAAACAAUUUUUGAAUUUUUGAGGAUUUUAUUGCAAAGUCCUCAGCUGACAAGGACUCCGUGAUGAUAUUCAACAUGUGUCAAAAAGAACGCAUAUGAACAAUUGAGAAUAGACUGGGUUGAGCUUAGCAUAGAGGGGAGUCGGGUCCGAUCACAUUCACUUAGAUGAAAUAUCAAAUUGAAGACUGGGCUAUAAGUGAAUGCUGUUGAGGACUUUGAACGCUCAUUAUAUAUAUAUAUAUAUAUNNNNNNNNNNNNNNNNNNNNNNNNNNNNNNNNNNNNNNNNNNNNNNNNNNNNNNNNNNNNNNNNNNNNNNNNNNNNNNNNNNNNNNNNNNNNNNNNNNNNNNNNNNNNNNNNNNNNNNNNNNNNNNNNNNNNNNNNNNNNNNNNNNNNNNNNNNNNNNNNNNNNNNNNNNNNNNNNNNNNNNNNNNNNNNNNNNNNNNNNNNNNNNNNNNNNNNNNNNNNNNNNNNNNNNNNNNNNNNNNNNNNNNNNNNNNNNNNNAUAUAUAUAUAUAUAUAAUUUGAAUAUUUUGAAGAAUGAAAAUCAUCAAACAUUUUGAAGAAUUUGAAGAUUUUGAAAAUUUGAGAAUUUUGUGACAAAGUGUCAGAUUGAUGAAUUUCAACUUUGAAGAAAAAGCAGCUUGAAGAAUUUCAAAGUUGGGUGGUGGCAUGACCCACCGUAUAAGACUGAUGAUUUCAGGAGCCGCGUACAAUUGUCGUAGGGCCCUGAGAACCAAAUUCUUCAUUAAUUUCUUCACACUAAGAGUGAUGUUCUUCAUUGAUUGAAGAAAGUCGAUUCUUCGUGUGGUGCACAUCUAAAUCAUCAAUUUUGCAUAAGUGUUAGGAUCACAAAACAUUUGAAGACUCUAGGAUAUUUAGCUCACACCGCAACUUGCGAAACCUUCUCUCAUCCAAGGGCUUAGUGAAAAUAUCUGCUAGUUGAUCGUCAGUCUUCACAUGGUCGAUGAUGAUAUUGCCCUUGACGACAUGGUUCCGAAGAAAAUGAUGACGACUCGGGAUGUGAUUAGUCUUCGAGUGUUGUACUGGGUUGUAGGCAAUCUUGAUUGCACUCUCAUUGUUGAAGUAGAGGGGCACAUUCUUCAUGUUGAUGUUGUAGUCUCUGAGGGUUUGCUUCAUCCACAACAAUUGAGCACAGCAGGAUCCAGCGACAAUGUACUCAGCUUCGGCGGUGGAGAGAGAAACACAAUUCUGCUUCUUUGAGGACCAGCCAACUAAUGAUCUUCCGAGGAAAUGGCAUGUGCGUGAUGUUGACUUGCGAUCCACAUGGUCACUAGCAUAGUCAGAAUCAGAAUAUCCAACGAGGUGAAGAUUUGAACCCUUGGGGUACCACAAUCCUAGUGUUGGUGUGUGAGCUAAGUAUCAAAGAAUAUGUUUCAUAACGUUAUGGUGUGAUUUCCUCGGUUUUGCUUGAAAACGAGCACACAUGCAAACACUAAGGAUUAUAUCUGGCCUAGAUGCACAUAGAUACAAUAAAGAGCUAAUCAUCGAGCAAUAUACCCGUUGAUCGAAAUCAUUACCAUUUCGUCAGUGCAGCGGUGGCUCUUGGUAGGCAUAGGAAUCUUGACGCCUUUGCAUUCAUGCAUGUUGAAUUUCCUCAGAACAUCCUUGAGGUAUUUCGCGUGUGAUAUGAAGAUGCCAUUGCGUUGUUAACGAAUUUGAAGGCCUAAGAAGAAUUUCAUCUAUCCCAUCAUAGACAUGUGAUAUUUUUCACUCAUCAUUUAAGCAAAUUCAUCACUGUAACGUUUGUUAGUACAACCAAAGAUAAUGUCAUCGACAUAUAUUUGGCACACAAAUAGUUCAUUGUCAUCAGAUUUUGUGAAAAGAGUUGGAUCGAGUGAACCAGGUUUGAAGCCUUUCUUCAUGAGAAAUUCCUUCAAAGUGUCAUACCACGCCCGAGGGGCUUGCUUGAGGACAUAGAGUGCCUUUUUGAAUCUGAAGACUUUGUUAGAAUGCUUUGGAUCUUCAAAACCUGGGGGCUGCGCAACAUAUACUUCUUCCUCAAGCUUAACAUUGAGGGAUGCACUUUUCACAUCCAUUUGAUAUAGAGUAAUAUUAUGAUGAUUAGCAUAAGAAAGUAUAGCUUCAAGUCUAGCAACAGGUGCAAAAGUUUCAGCGAAAUCAAUUCCUUCAACAUGUGUGUAACCUUGGGCUACAAGCCGUGCCUUAUUCCUCACCACUUUACCAUCUUCAUCUUGCUUGUUUCAGAAAAUCCACGUGGUGCCGAAGAUAUUGUGCUUGCAAGGAUCUGGUCGUUUGACGAGUUCCCACAUGUCAUUUAGCUUGAAUUGAAGAAGUUCAUCUUGCAUGGCCUGAAUCCACUCAGGUUCCAUGAAGGCUUCAACAACUUUUGAGGGUUCUAUGAUAGACACAAAAGAGGAAUGCCCACAAAAGUUAACUAAAUCUGAAGCUUUUGAGAGAGUGAGAGGAUGUGGCGCAUUGUGUUGGGGAACGUUGCAUGGGAAACAAAAAUUUUCCUACUCACACGAAGACCUAUCAUGGUGAUGACCAUCUACGAGAGGGAGAUCGGAUCUACAUACCCGUGUAUACUACUAAGCGGGAAUUGUUAAGAAACAAGGUUGAUGUAGUGGAACGUCUUCGCGAUCCAAAUCACCGUCGUCCCAUGAUCCGACGCGAUAUAGUACCUAACGAACGACACCUCCUCGUUGAGCACACGUACAGCUGGAUGACGAAAUCCGCCUUCUUGAUCCAGCAAAAGAGAUGGGGAAGUAGAUGAGUUCUCCAGCAGUGUGACUGCGUGCCAGUGGUGGUGGUGAUCUAUUCCUGCAGGGCUUCGCCUAAGCACCGCAGAAACCCAAUCUGGAGGAAGAACUACAAACUAGAGGAGAGGGUUGCAUGUGGCUGAAAUUGCGUCUCAAAAUCAUUCAAACCUCUUGUAUAUAUAGGAGGAGGCAAGAGGCAGCCUUGUCCGACCAAGGGAAACCCCUUGGGGUCGACCGAACCAAAGGAGGGAGGAGUCCUCCUCCAAUCCUACUUGGAUUAGGACUCCUUCGCAAAUUGUCCACCUCUUUUGGAUUUUCCACCUUUUUCCACAUGGGAUUUCUUUGGUUGACAAGACAGCCCACUAAGAGCUAUUGCGCCACCAUCAAGUCCAUGUGGAGCUCUUGGGGAGUGGUGGCCCACCUGGUGGGCCCCCGGUACCCAUUCGUCAGUCCCGGUAUACUGCCGUCAAUGCCUGAAAUUCUUCUGGAAUCCAAAUAUGAACUGCCUAUAUAUCAAUCUUCGUUUCUGGACCAUUCUGUAACUCCUUGUGACGUCCGGGAUCUCAUCAGGGACUCCGAACAAAACUUCGGUCACCAGCACCUAUAACUCAACUAUACCGAAACAUCACCGAACCUUAAGUGUGCAGACCCUACGGGUUCAAGAACUAUGUAGACAUGACCUGAGACACUCUCCGGUCAAUAUCCAAUAGCGGGACCUGGAUGUCCAUAUUGGAUCCUACAUAUCCUACGAAGAUCCUAUCGGUUGAACCUCCAUGCCGAGGAUUCAUAUAAUCCCGUAUACCAUUCCCUUUGUCCUUCGGUAUGUUACUUGCCCGAGAUUUGAUCGUCGACAUCUCUAUACCUAUUUUAAUCUCGUUACCGGCAACUAUCUUUACUCAUUCCGUGAUAAAAGAUCCCAUGACUAACUCUUUAGUUACAUUGCUUCCAACACUUAUAUUUGAUGUUUUAUUACCGCGUGGGCCACAAGAUACCUCUCCGUCACACGGAGUGUCAAAUCCCAGUCUUGAUACAUGCUAACUCAACGGACACCUUCGGAGAUGCUUGUAGAGUACCUUUAUAGUCACCCAGUAACAUUGCGACGUUUGAUACACGCAAGGCAUACCUACGGUGUCAGUGAGUUACAUGAUCUCAUGGUCAUAGGAAUGAAUACUUGACAUGCAGAAAACAAUAGAAACAAAAUAACACGAUCAUAUGCUACAUUCAUAGUUUGGGCCUUGUCCAUCACAUCAUUCUCCUAAUGAUGUGAUCCCGUCAUCAAGUGACAACACUUGUCUAUGGCUAGGAAACCUUAACCAUCCUUGAUCAACAGGCUAGUCAACUAGAGACUCACUAGGGACACAGUUUUGUCUAUAUAUCCACACAUUAUGCUUCCAUUCAAUACAGUUAUAGCAUGGAUAAUAAACGAUUUUCUUCAAACAUGAAAUAUAAUAAUAACUACUUUAUUAUUGCCUCUAGGGCAUAUUUCCAACACAUUGAUGUCAUCCAGGAUUUUGUCAAGUUCCACUUCAUUUGCAAUUCAUGGAUGGGCUGGUUGAAGAUUUUGUCUUGGCUGAGGAAUUUGAUCUGGAGCAAUUUCCUCAAGUGCACCUCCUUGAAUUUCAUCAGUGCCGGGGACGAUUUCUUCAGCAAUUUCCUCAGUAGGAAGAUAUCUUCAGUAUCUUUGAAGUUGAUAGCUUCCUCGGGAGAUAAUUUGUCUGGCAUAGGAGGCAAUUGCUCUCCUUGUGAGCCAUUAGUUUCAUCGAACCGCACAUCUACAGUUUCAACAACCUUGUUGUGAUAGGUGUUGAAGACUCUGUAGGUGUGCGAGUCCUUUCCAUAACCAGACAUAAAACCCUCAUGUGCUUUAGGUGCAAAUUUUGAGCUAUGGUGAGGAUCUUUAAUACAACAUUUUGCACUGAAGACUUUGAAAUAACUUACAUUGGGUUUCUUGUCAGUGAGGAAUUCAUAUGAUGUUUUCUUGAGGAAUUUGUGAAGAUAUGCCCUGUUGAUGAUGUGGCAAGCAGUGUUGAUUCCUUCAGGCCAGAAACGAUGAGGAGUCUAAUAUUCUUCAAGCAUGGUCCAUGCCAUUUCAACCAAAGUCAUGUUCUUGAGUUCAACGAUGCCAUUUUGUUGAGGAGUAUAAGGAGCAGAUAAUUCUUGAGUAAUACCAAGUUCAUCAACGUAAUUAUCAUGACCAGUGUUUUUGAAUUUUGUCCCAUUCUCACUUCUGAUGUGUUUGAUCUUGACGCCGAAGUUCGUUGAGGCCCUUGUGGAAAAUUGUUUGAAGACUUCCUGCACUUCAGUUUUAUACAGAAUGAUAUGUACCCAAGUAUAUCAAGAAUAGUCAUCAACGAUGACAAAGCCAUAUAAAUAUGUUGCAUUGGUUGGAGUGGCAUAAUGCGUAGGUCCAAAUAGAUCCAUGUGAAGCAAUUCAGACGAACGAGUAGUAGUCACGAUAGUCUUCGAGGGGUGUUUGGAUCUGGUCAUUUUUCCAGACUCACAAGCAUUGCAGAGGUGGUCCUUGAGGAAUUUGACUCACUUGAUGCCAAUGACAUGCUUCUACUUCGCCAGCGUGUGCAAAUUCCUCAUGCCUGCAUGACCAAGUCUUCGAUGCCAUAGCCAGCCUUUUGAGGUUUUUGCUAGUAAGCAUGUGGCUGGUUGAUGACCUGUGAAAAAAUCAAUAAUGUACAAAUCUCCUCUCCUAAAGCCGUCGAAGACAUUAGAUUUGUCAGAUUCCAUGAUGACUACGCAUACAUAUUUUCCAAAGAUGACAACCAUAUCAAGAUCACAAAGCAUUGAGACUGGCAUGAGGUUAAACCCAAGGGAUUCAACAAGCAUGACUUUGUCCAUGUGCCUGUCCUUGGAGAUAGCCACUUUGCCAAGUCCCAGUACCUUGAUUUUACCUUUAUCAGCAUAAGUGAUUUGCUUCAGUGGUGAUGGAGUCAGUGGCAUGUUCAUCAACAAGCUUUUAUCACGAUUCAUGUGGUUUGUUCAACCACUGUCAAGAACUCACUCUGUAUUCUUGGGUUAGUCAUCCUAGAGAUGAAUUAGUACAACUUACCAUCUCAUAUGCUUUAGACUUGAAGAAUAUGGUUUCAAUUUCAUCAUAUAGGAAUUUCAUCAUAAACAGUAAAUUUGAGGACAUGUGAGAUGUUAUCAUUUCAUCAAUUUUAGUUUGCGUCCAAUCAAGCAUUUUCCUGAGGUCUCCAGCAAAUUCUUGAAAUGAUGACUUUCAUCUCGAGACUUGACCUGCAGAAGUGAUUAGUUCAAUUUCUUCACCACCCACAUCUGAAGGGGUGGCUAAGAGUUCAUCAUCGUGCGAGAAUCAUAUGAGAAAGGGGGCAUUGAAGCUAAUGCACUUCGUUUCAUAGUAGGGGUGUUAGAGUACUCGAAUGAAUAGGCAAAGAAGUUCUUUGAGGACUUAUGAAUAUAAUGAUUUGAGGAAUAAUGCUCAUAUUCAUAUCCCUUGUAAUUUCCCUGCAUAUCAGAAGCAUUAGCACAAGUACGAGUAUUGUGUUGACCAUUUGAGGAUUUUGAUCCUCUUGAAGACUUUGGUCCACCAGAGGAAUUUGAUCUGGGGUUCAGGUUCUUCAUAGGUGGUGUCAUGAGGACAUUCACCAUAAGGUUUUCCAAGCAACUUUUCGGACCCAGAUUUUUCUCAGGGGUGGUCCAUUCGUGUAGUUAGUUCCAACAUAUCUAGCAAAUACUUCACCAGAUCGAUUUUUGAACAAUUUAUAGUUGGAGUCAAAUGACUCAUCUGAGGAAUAGGAUAAUUUACAUGCAAAGCCUGUUAGAGAGGAUGGAUCGAUGGGAGGGCCUUUAGCAGCAACCCAUGAGGUUUUGGGAUACUGCUUAGGUUUCCAGUAUGAUCCAUUAGCAUUCAAUUUCCUUUCAAAGGCAAUUCCUUCUUUCCUCGGGUUCCUGUUCAAAAUCUUCUUUUUUGCACAUUGCAAAGGGUUUGAUGCCCUUUGAGACUUUUGUAUAUGCCUGUCACAUACAAUUCCUUCAGCCCUGCAUUUUCGUCAGUAGCAUUUGUGGUUUACUCAAGUGAAGAAUUUGAUACCACAGGAGAAGUUGAAGAAUUUAUAGCGAUAGAAGCAUUUGAUGAUUCUGGUGAAGAAUUAGCAUUUUCAUGUUUAAUGCAUAUGAGACAUGGUGGAGUAAAUUCAACUGAGCGGCACUGAUCUGUUGAGCAAGCAAUGAAUCAUUUUCCAUUUGAAGAUCAUCAUGAGACAUCUUCAACUUCUCAAGAUCAAGUUUCCUUUGAAAAAUUAAAAGGAAACUUUCUCAUGAUCAGCCAAGAGUGUGCCAUAACGAUCUUGAAGAGUAUCAAAUCUAGACUGAAGACUUUUCACAUCUUCAGUGAGGACUUGAGUACGAGUCAUUUCAUCAUUCAACAGAUCAUUGCUUUUGUGUAGCAGCUUUUGAAGCUUUUCAAUGGCACUUUGUUGUUUAGUUGCAAUGUUGGCAAGUUUACUAUAAUUGGGUUUUUUAUAAUCAUCAGGUUCACAGUCACUUCAGUUAGAGGAGGAAGUAUCAUUCAAUACCUUUGAACCUUUUGCCAUGAAGCAAUAGGUUGGAGCGAAGUCAUCAGCAUAUCCAUCAGUGUAGAUAGUGUUGUCAUUUUCUUCAAGGUUGAAGUUUGACUUGUUGACGAAUUUGGUAGCCAGUGCAAGACUUGCCACACCAGACUCUGAAUCUUCUUCAGAACCUUCAUCUUCAUCAAAUUCCUCAGAUUCUUUCUGUCAAUCUAUUUCCGUGCCAAUGGGUGCCCGAGCCUUUCUGAAACUAGUCUUCUUGUGCGAUGAGGACUUUGAGGAUGAGGAUUUUCAAGAUUUCUUCUUUUUUUUCGAGCCAUGAGAACUUUCAUCCUUGUAUUUAUUCUUCUGUCAUUGUUUCACCCAGUGAAGAUAGUCAGCUAUGUAGUGACCAGAUUUCUUACAUUUGUGACAGGUUCUUUUCUUGUAGUCCUGAGAUGAAGAUUCUGAUUUCCUCAUAUCUCUUCUUGAAGAUUUACAAAACUGACCAUGCUUUGAAACUUCUGGUAUUUCCUCACGAGCAUUGCAAGCUCCUGUCCAAGUUCUUCAGGAUCACCAAUGUUGCAAUCUGAGUCUUCUUCUUUAGAUGAGGAAAUUGCUUUAGCAUUCAACGCACAAGGUCUUGAGUAGCUUGGUCUAUACAGAUCUCUCUUUUCUUCCUGUUGGAAUUCAUGAGUAUUGAGUCUUUCAAGUAUAUCAGCAGGAUCAAGCAUUUUAUAGGCUCCUCUUUCUUGAAUCAUCAGAACCAGUGUAUCAAAAGAUGGAUCAAGAGAUCUUAGUAGUUUCUUCACAACUUCAUGGUCGGUGAUGCCUCGAGCUCCCGCUGCUUGUAGUUCAUUUGAGAUGUCAGUGAGGCGAUCAAAGGUAUCUUGGCAGCUUCCAUUGUCAAGCAUCGUGAAGCAAUUGAAGAGAUUGGGAAGAACAUCAACUCGAGAGUCAUGCUGAGUUGAGAUUCCUUCAUUGAGUUUGGACAACUUAUUCCAGAUAAGCUUAGUUGUGCCCAAAGCACUCACUCCGCCAUAUUGACCUUUGCUCAGAUGGCCACAAAUGAUAUUCUUCGCUUGUGAGUCAAGUUGCUUGAAUUUCUUCACAUCAGCGGCAGAGAUAGUAGAAGUGAUGGACGGAAUACCAUGUUCCACGGUAUACCAGAGAUCUUUGUCAAUAGCCUGAAGAUCUGUACUUUCCUUUGAAGGUAGGACAUCGUGAAGUAACUUUGUUCAUACCUGUCGUCGACAUAACUAAAACACGAGGUGGUUAAACCAAAAUCACACGGAACAAGGGAGUACCUUGCUCUGAUACCAAUUCAAAGUGCGUUAUAUCGACUAGAGGGGGGGGGGUGAAUAGGCAAUUAUUAGAAUUUCAUUGCUGAGGAUAUUCCUUGUGAGGAAAGUCCUCAAUGAUGAAUUGUGGGGACCCUGACUUACGGGUCGAGAUCGCCGAGUGAACGUGCUCAGUGAUCCCAGAGAUCAGUGCUCACCGAACAGAUAGAAACUGAAUAACAAGAGUCUUACAUCCAUACGUACCGUUUCCUCAUAUAGUAAAUGAUGGUUGCAGUCAAGUCUUACAUAUAUAGGCCUUGAGGGCCAACACAACAAACUCGACCAAUAGCAGAAAUAUUGAACGAAAGCGUGCCCAUGCCACCAGCCUUAACCUACAUGCAUUCUGACUCGAAGCGUCCUAGCUCACAGGAACGUCACCAAGUUACUCUUCGCCAUAUCCUGUUCUCUCAUACCUGGUCAAUGAAAUAACCAAUGGCAAGCCAAUGAGUACUUUGAAUGUACUCGCAAACAUCCCAUGAUAUGGAUAAUGCAGUUGGUAUGGGAACAAGUAAUAUGCAGUAUUGGUGGAUAGCAGUUUAACUGUAAAUAAACAUGAUCGUGGAUGUGCAGCAUAAGCUAGAUGGUAUUUAGAAGAACAGGUUACGGAUAUCAAUAUAUCUAUCAAGGGCUGAACACUCCGGGUUCUCCCGAUAUGACAGGUCACCAAACUUGGUCAUAUCAACCCUUUCACAUAACUACUUGAACACACACACACACACACUAGGUUUAUGCGGAAACGACUGGACGUAGUUUAAGCAGCACCACCCAACUGUCCUUGACCGUGGACACGACUAUCCGAAUAGUUUUACACUCUUCAGAGGUUGUAUGCAGUACCCACGAGAUCCAGGAAACUUGCGUGUCAUCCACGACUCGCGGUAUAUAACAUACCCGAGGUAAGUACCCAAUCAAUGCCUUUCCCCUGACGAUACUAGACAACAAGGUCAAUUUGAUUGGUACCCAGCCCACAUGUUGUAUGUCUUACGAGCACCGACUUUGGACAGUAGCAACCAUGCGGGGACCAACGGUGUUCCUGGAACACGUAAAAACAACAUAGUUGCCCUACCUGGCACGACCACAUCACGAGAGUGACCACACAUCACUCCCGCCACUAGUAAUGUGGCUCUUUGCUAGCACCGACCAGAGUAAUCAACAAAGCCCCGUCCCAUAAAGGGUUAACGUGGUCAUACAUGUAAGGUUGGGACGGUCGACACAUCAUAAAUCUAAUCCCAUUUACGAAACCACUCACAUGAAAAUAUCCGGUGCACCACUUCACCAUAAGUGACCACCUAACUCACCAUCACCCUCGGGCAUUAGUGGCAGCCUACGGGGUUUUCAUAAACCUUUGAUUAUACCAUUAUCAUGCUCAUGCUACUACUAUCCUUAGUUCUACUUGUCAACAUGAUAAUAGCGUGACCCUCAUAGGUGGUAGGAUCAUGCUAAAAAUGCAAGUGCUACGGAGGAGCCAUCGGUAAUAUCACUUCAAUGGUUUACCGAUACUUAUGAUCACAUGCAAUAUUAAUAUUUUCUACCCUAGCAUGCAAUAUAACAUAUGCUCAAACAUGGUCAAAUGGCUGCUUGCCUUUGCUCACAUAAGUCCUCGGGGUCUUCGACGUCUUCCGGUCCAACUCCGAGUACUCCGUCUACCCGUCACUAUUAUAGGAAACAACCACGGUAAGCCACACAACAAUCAAAAACAAAAGUGCUAUAAAAAUGGAAGUUAUAUUUUUCUUGGACCUCUCCGGUCAUAAGAAAAAUACCUGAAGCUUGCCAUAGGAGAUUUGGAUCAUCAAGGAUUUUUAAUGAAUGAGAAGAGGAAUAGGUGAUCUCUAAAUAUGCCUACGGAAAAUAUCAUGAUAGAAAUGAGUGGAGGCACUCAUUUAAUACAGCAUAAUUUUAGAAAUAUUUAGGAAGUUGUUUCACUGGAUUUGGAGUUGAUAUGAAUAUACUAUGGAUUAUUCAAUACUGGAUAAAUAGCAAAAGCGAGCUAUUUAUUUAAUGCAACACACAUAAGUCAUAAACAAUGUUGACCAAGGUUUCAAAAAUAGGAUGUGAUAUAAGAAGGCUCUGGAAAUUGUAAUCACUCCAUUUGCAAGUGCUGCCUAAAAUAUUCAAAUGGGCAUUUGAAUAUUAACCUCACACAAAAGUAUUUUGCAAAAAUGUGCAAUGCACAGAUCUGGAUAGAACAUGAUUUUAGAAACCUGCAAAUUUUUGAAUUGUCAGAUUUGGAGCUUAGAUGGAUAUUUGAUGGAUUUAUGAAGAUUCUGAUAAUAGGAAACAAAUCAGAGUUAUACCAGAUGGGGGGGAACUAUAUUGCGCGCAGGCCCACCGCAGCUUUGGGUCGGCCCAGCUUGGCCUGGCCUGCGGUGGUGCAGGUGACACCGAAACCGCACCCAGGGAAUACGCCUCCCCUGGGAAAAGGCGGCUACAGCUCACCCCGUAUCCACUUAAUGGGGAGAGACCCACCCGCGAGCCUCACUGGCCGGCCGACAGGCGAGGCCUAGCGGCUCACGAGGCUUUAUUCUUCCUCUCGCCACGAGGGAGAGCAGGGGAAUCUGGCAGCGGCUGCCGACGCUACAGGGCACAGUUCCCAGCGUCCCCACCACCAAAGGGCUCAGGGAAGCGAGUCGCACCCGUUCCGAUGCAGAGCACGUGCUGAGAAGGGCUGAGGUAGCGACGCCUUGGACGACCGCGGAGGAGGCCAUCGGGACUCGCUGGCCUCGAGAUCUUGGCGCCCCAGGGUGGAACGAAGGUGACCGGGGGGUUUCAACAUGGAGGUGUGAUGGCGCUGCAGGGGGUCAGGGGAGAGGGGGAGCUCGGAGGAGCUCAAAUUUAAGAGGAGGCCUAGGAUGCAAUGUGAGCGGCACGAGGAGGAGGAUGGGCACAGGGCAAGCCGUGGCUAGCCCAGGAGGCCACUAGGGGAAGAGGGGGCGAGAGAAUGCACAAGGGGGGCUAAGGGCUUGCUUCAAAUGGAGGGGGUAUGGCAGGGAGAGCUCGAGGGAGCUUCGGAUGCUCCCUUUGCACUCUAAGCAAAGUGGCCACGCGCGCCUGAGUCACCUUGGCUGCUUCCUGGCUUCGGGGAGGGCUCGAACGGUCAAAGGGGAGCACCCUGGCGCGUUGGGACACGCGACCGUUGAUGGAGUCGAGCUGCAAAAAGAUAAAAGGAUGCAUAGCAGCGUUUUUGCAUGCUUCCGGCGUGGUCAUCAUAGCCACUCAUGUCCACAAUGUUCCAAUGACCAGUCAAACAUGUCCAACACGUAGGGCACACAUGCAGGAAAGUAAACUUGAGGGGAAACCAUGUCUAGCAACAUCUGACACGGAAGGACUACACCCCUAUAAAGUUUUAGCUCAAGCAAAGGAGGGUAGCUAGUACUUGCUGUACAAAUCUACAUUUCAGCCACAAUUCAACUUGUAGAUGUGCUGCUCAUUUUCCCCACAUGAGCAUGCCAUCUCUUGGUAUGAAACAAUGCUUUGGGAUGCCAGGGACCCUCUGGAGAGAGGUGGGGCUUUGGCUUAAGCAGAAGUGGGAGAAGAGAGGUACAAAUGGUGAUCCAAGCGUAAAAAAGAGAAGUAGUUACAUGGAGGUAAAAUGUAACUAUAUGGAGCUGUGGUAGAAAGUUGACAUCAAGGGUAAAACUGGAAGGGGCCAAAGUAGCCACUUUAGUGAGUGCACACAAGGUGUUUGAUGAGUGUCAGGGCAACCAUAUGAACUUCAAUGGAUAUGAAACUUAACAGGAUCAAAUAAUAGAUGAAAAUAAGCUUGGACAACAAAUUUGGGAUUUUGUGGACAAGGUUUCCAAUGUAGACUUGGAAAACCCAUGAAAUUGGCAGAAAUGGCUUUCUGCUUACAACUCUAUUCAAAUCAAUUCCCACUAAUAGAAUAUUUGGUGUGGGGGCAUUAUUUGUGCAUUAAAGCAUGCCCAAAAAGUUUGGGGUCAAUUGGAGAAGCUUUAUAAUGUAAAGUUUCCCAAAGUCAGAAUUCAACAAAGAGGGGUUUGAGGGGCUUGGGACCAGUUCAUAUAUUCUCCUUGAUUCCCCACUUGGUGUGGAUGCAUUAUUGGAGUAUCAUAACAUGUAUACCAAAUUUGAGCACAGUUUGAGAUACUGGACAAUGUAGAGUUGCUCAAAUUUGGUUCUGGACAGAUAGGGUUUUAGGAUAAUUAAGGGAGCCAAAUCACCUUGGAUUGAUAUGAAACUUGGCAAGAUCAUCACAAAGGUCAUAUGUGACAUGCUAGAAUUUUACAUGAAUUUAUUGAUAAUAUUUCUUAUAGAAAUAUUUCAAAACCUUGAAAUAGGCAGGAAGGGUUUGCCCUAUAUUUGAACAUGACCAUGUGUUGAAACUUAUAUAUAUGGAAUAUAUAUGUCCAUUGAGUUUCCCUAAAUUUUAUUAAAUAUUUUGAAAGCAAUAGAAAUAACUUUCCUUCACAAGAGAGCAUUUCUGGCCUCACAGGAAGGCAUUUAAAUAAAAUAGUAAAAUAACUAUUAUUAAUUUUGUGGUUUUGUGAAGCCAUUUUGAUAAUGGGUUUUAAAUAAAAUAAUUGGUGCAAAAUAAAUUCCCUAAUUUGAGGACUUGUAGUACAAAUCCCAUCUAACGGGUUUUGAAAGCUUAAUUCAAAGAAAUGUUUUUUGGCGAAAAUAAUAUUUGGUAAAAAUAGUUUCUGGUCCUAAACACAUGGCAUGAUCAUUAGGGAGGAGAUUUGGGGUAAGGAGGUGAGUCUGGAGAGUAAUAAGAAUUAUUGAGAAUCAAACACAAGCAUACCAACAAGCAAGCAAACAAUAGUCACUUCAAGCAUUACAAGCAUUCACAAAAAAGUUAAUUGGUCCUUAUUUUUGAAAUAAGUUAAUUAGUCAGAAAAGCUAAACACAUGGUGUUACAGACCUUACCCCCUUAAGAAAAUCCCGUCCCCGAGAUUUCUAGGCUAGGGGUUGGAAAGAUACAAAAUCUUGAGUCGGAGGUAGUCUUCAUGUCCCCAUGUUGCUGUUGUAUGUCUUGAGGUGCUUGAUCAUACAUCUUCGAAUGCUCCGCACGUCCUUGCGUGAUUGUGAAUGGAUUCUCGCAAUAAGUUAGGCUUGACCGAGGGUCGGGGGCUUGGUGAACUAAGUUCGUUCAAGGUUUUGGCUUGCAAGUGCAUUCCAAGGUAGGAAUACGUGGCAAGAUAGUGUCUGGGUUUUGGUCCCGGGGCUGCUCGUGUUGGUUAGUGACAUCUAGAUCUGUCGUCUUAGAACGUACGGUCAAGGUCCUCGCGUAGCUCCCUGCUGACGAGGAAUUACUUGACUAUGGUCGCAUGUGGUCUACAUCUUCGAGGGUGUGGAAGUGGUCUUCUAAGGCUUCUCAUGAAGGGGUCUGGGUUGGAUCUCUCCCAUGAGUCUUAAGCUCGGAGACUCAGUAAUCAGGACACGUACUAUCAUCUCGGAAGGUUUCGCGAGGGGUUCUGGAUGGGCUGGCUACCAAAGAGUAUAGACCAGUCAUCCACUCCCAAGGUCUGCGGCUUGGCAAGCAGUGAAUCACCUUCAGCGGGUUUUCACCAUGACUGUCGGUGAAUACUUACAACAUAUGCCAUAGGUAGGCUAAAGUCGGUGAGAACCGAAGGGAAAAAGGUGGGCGCUGGGAACGAGGUUGGUACACGCAUGGGACGCACGAUGUACCCAGGUUCAGAGCUCUCCAUAGAGAUAAUACCGCUAAUCCUGCUUGUGUGUUUGAUGUAUGGGAACAGCGUACAAUGUUGCUCCUGGAGCUGUGUUGGGAGGAGGAAGAGGGGAGCAGCCGACUCAUCUCUACCUCGCUCUUUGUUGGUUGGUGAGUGUGUAGUGUUGAAUGACUGGCAAGUGAUCGGCCCCUCUGCAUGGGGGGCGGCCGGGGGGUUUUAUAGACGAACCCGCCAGCCUACAAUACGGAUAAAGGGUACAAGUGUGGGACCCGGUUGGCUGCUUCGCUGGCUGGCCAGAGGCCCUUGUCUUGUCAAUGAGGGGCCCGCCGGCUGCAUGGUCUCGUUUAGCUGUGGGACCUGCCGGCUGGCCAAUGGCGGUCCCAUUUAAGGUUGACGCUGAGCACGCGCUGUACGUCAAGCGUCGCCCCGCGAGAUUCUUCAUGGGCAGGCAGUACGACCGCCUCCACUAUUCCCCACGCCGAGUGUAGUAAUGGAGUGGGAGUGUGACGGUCCGACAUCCGGCUAGGUGAUGGAUCAAAGCCGGGGUAGGUCAGUUGCGUGGCCGUCGACGGUCAUAAAUGCCGGGUGCCCCGAUCCAGUACCUUUGCUGACGCGUAGCUACCUAUAAUUGUGAGGUCCUUUCCUGACCUACGAUCUGAUGUGACUGGUGAUCCUCGGCCGGCUAGCCUGCUUGGCUAGGCGGCUCGCGGGUGGCCGCCUCCUCCCCAGUCUGGCUGGCGGGACCAGGCCGGCUCUGAAGGGGAGGCCGCCUGCGUUCUAGCCGGCAGGGGAUGUCGGUCCGGCCAGAAAGGUGGCCGCCUCGUCUUCCAGCCGACAUGGGAUGCCUAGCCUGUCAAAAGACUUGGGCCUUGGGAAUCUCCCUAUCUUCAUGUCCGUUGGGCCGGAAAUGAAGGAGCAGGCUUGAUGAGCCUACCCUGGGGUUAUCCCCCCGACAGUAGUCCCUGAAGCUGGCGAGGUCUGCCGCUUGCGGGCGGGCGGCCUCACCGGCUUGUUGUCUUGUAUUGAUAUUUUGGCUGUUGUUUGUGGUGAAGGACGCCGACUUCGGAGCCGGGCAGCUUCGAAGCGACGCUUUGGUCCAGUCGUAACUGGCCCGGGGAGCGCCACGUCCAGGCCCCGCCUGGCAUAAUGAUGGCGAUUACUGCUUGACGGGACCGGGCCUGGGCCCUGGGUCCCGCCACGACGCCCCCCUCGGCCUCCACGUGGGAGAUCUUCUGCGGAUUUACUCCGCGACGGUUGGGCUUAGGGGAGCGUUACCGCCCGUAAUACAUGGAAUUAAUGGGGCCCGGCACGCACAGGAUCCCCUCCCCACAAGGCUUCGUGGGGUUUACAUGGGACAUGAGGGUUUUGAGGAGGCCAUUCGCCCCCUCUUCUCGCCCCGCUCCGUGCCUUCUUCCUUCUUGCGGCCUGAGAAGAAGAGCUCGUGGCCUUCAUCUCCUUCUUCUUCGCUGCCGAUACCUCCUCCGCCCGGUUCGAGCUCUCGCCACCUGUAUUCAUGGCCAGGGGAUCUUCUUCGAACAGGUCGUCGGCACAGCAGGCGUCCUCGCAGGGGGCGUGGCUGGGCAACAAUGUCCACGCGGGGCUCAUCGACGCGCUUCAUCAUCAUCGGCUGGUGCCCCCGGCCUCCCUAGUGUCCGUGCGCCUCCCUGGCUUCGAGGCCUCUCCCGCACCUGUCGCGGGAGAGGUGGUGGUCUUCGCCGAGCAUUUGUACCGGGGUGUCGGGCUCCCGGCUAGCUCUUUCUUCGCCGAGUGGCUCGAGUUCUUCGGCCUACAGCCGCUUCAUCUGGCGCCGAACGCCAUAAUGCAGCUGGCCGCCUUCGUGGUCGUGUGCGAGGGCUUCGUGGGGAUCAAGCCUCGCGUCGAUAUGUGGCGCAACUUGUUCUUCUUCAAGCAGCAAUCCAUCGCCAUGGAGAUAUCCGAGGUGGAGAAGCUGAAGGGGCCGCGCCCCAUGACGCCGUGCGGGGCCGCGUUGGUGCAUCACCGCCCGAAGUCCGGCUUCCCCCAGAUGCCUCUGCAAGACUCCAUCAAGCAUUAGCAGAAGGGGUUCUUCUAUGUGAGGAGCACCAACCCAGCCCAGGACGCCCUCAACAUGCCCCCGUUCGCCAUCGCCCCUCCGACGCGGCAGAACUGGGACACGGAGCCCCCCAAGCCGCAUCCUGAGGUGGUGCCCGUUCGCGCCCACCUCGACAUCUUGAGGGAGAGCGGCCUCCUUGGCCGCGACCUUCUCGCCGCCAUGGUGGUCCGCUGGAUUCUGCCUUUGCAGAGGCGGCCGCAUCUGGUCUGCCAGAUGAGCGACCGGCUUGAUCCGUGUCGGCUGUCCAUCAAGAGGCUCACCUCGGGCGCUAUGGGGCGGAGGGUGAACCUGCUCUCCACCGCCCGUAUGGAUGAGGGUGGGGAAUGGACGUGGGGGAUACCCCCGUUCAACCGGGCUCAUCCGCCUCCCAUGAUAGCCUUUCUCCCUUCUUUUCUAUCGUUUUGUUUUGAAGCCGGUGGCGUUUGCUGAGCCAGGUUGAAUUCCUUUUUUGUAGAUGUUCCAGACCCUGUAGGGGUCCCUCCCUCAGCCUGCUCCCGACAUGGAGGCAUCCGGCGCCUCCGAGAUGGAGGAUGAGGAUGCGAUGGAGCCCGGCUCGGACUCCACCGCCGGCACGGGAGAUCCCCUAGAGUCAGAAGGGACCGAGCCGUCUGGUGAGUACCCGCGGCACGCCCUAGCAGACUGGACGGACGACCAUGAGGAAGCCUCAUUCUGCUCUGAUGCAGCCUUUGAAGGAGACUCCGACGAGGUGGAGGAGGUCACCGGCCCACUACCGUUGCACGGCCGGCGUCAAGGCGGCGGAGCGACCGCUGCUGAUGACGCAGCCGAGAGGAAGGGCAAGGGUGCCACAGCUUCCCGGCCGGCCUCUAAGCGACCGGCGCCGGACCUCCAGUCGGGCAGCGGGCAGACGGCGCCAAAAGGCGCCGUGGCGGUGGCCGGAAGCAGGUCCCGGUAGCUGUCGGGUAUGGUUUCCUCCUUUUCUCUCUUCCGUAUUUUGAGAUGAACUUUGUUCCUAAGAAUCUUGGCUCGACAGGGAGGCAGAGGAUGCGGAUGAAGACACAACCUCCGCGGCCUAGCGGGCCGGCUGGGCAGCGGCUGAUGCUGCCGACAGGGAGCUGAGAUAGAGUCCAGGAGCCGGCGCCAUCGUCGUCCCCCAGCAGGGCUCUGUCGCGCCAACGGCAGGGGGCCAGCCUGGGAGCCGAUCCAUGAAGUCAUGGCGGGCGGCGAACGCGGCCCGCCUGCGAAUGCCUGCCGGCACCGUUCUUUCCGGUGUGCUAGAGCUCGUGACGCUGUUUGACAGCGGCGGUUGAAGGUGGAGGAGGCGGCCCGCGUGGUAUGCGGUUGCAUGGAGCGCCUGGAAGCCCGUACCCAGGUAGGCCUUGCCUGUUUUGGUUUUUCUUUGCUUUUUUCUCUUCCCUUGACAUCAGUGAGGGCGCGGCAGCGCACCCACUGGGUGUAGCCCCCGAGAAUCGGGCGGGUUGAUUGCCAACCGGUCCGAAUCUCUUGGAGGCCUUUUUCUUCUGCAUAUCUUUCUUGAGUGGCGGCGCGUAAGCGCACCCACUGGGUGUAGCCCCCGAGAAUCGGGCUGGUUUUGCUUUUAACCAGGUCGAAUCUUAAUCCUGUUCCCUUUCUCUCCCCUUCGGCAGGCGCUAUACGAUGCUCAGGUACAGGCGUACAACGAGCUUCGGGACGAGCACCUGGGGGCUGAUAGCCGGAUCAUCGAGAUUGAAGUCCGGCUAGGCAAGGUUGCCGCGGAGCGUGAUGCCCUUCGCAAAGCCGGCGGCCGGCUCCAAGAGCGGCUGGACCUUCUUCAGGCGGAGAAGAAGGGGCUCGAGGCGGUCGGCCCGGUUGAGUUGGAGCGGCUGCGGGCCACGCUGCAGGAGAAGGAAGCCUCCUACUCUGCAGACAUGGACCGCCUCGCGUCGCACCAUCUUGAGGAGGCAAACCUCAAGGACGCCGCCUUGAGGGCGAAGGACGAAGCCCUUAUCCAGAAGAAAACGCAGCUGGGUAAGGCGCUAGAGUCCGCCGCGACCCUCCAGGAGGAAAUCGCCCGCCUCACUCAUGCGAGUGAGGUGCGGGAGCGCAAGGUGCUCGAGGUCUUUCAUGAGACCAACGGCGCCUUCCAGCGUAGGUUUCAUUUCCUUGUUUUGCGUUUGGUUUUUUGGCCGUCUCCUCCUCUUGUUGUGUUCUUACGUCCCGGCUAUCUUUACCCCAGAUCUCUUCUCCGAGACCUAGGUCGCAGCCGACACCGCCGUUGAGGUGUGCCGCGAGGAGCGCCGCGCGGCUGGGCAGGAGGUAGAUACUGCCUCCGGCUGGAGCGUCGAGGAGAUCCGCGUGGGCCUUCGGGCCCGCCUGCACAUCCUGAGCGAGUCUGUGACUCAGCUCCAGGUUGCAGGUUCGUCUAUGGUGGCGGCCCUGUGGCCGGAGGGCGUGGAGCCGACGACCAUGAGCCGGCUUGCCCGCUGGCUCACAGCUGGUGGACAUCGUCUGACGCCUGGUGAGCCUCUGCCGCGCGGUCUGGGGCUUAUAUGGCCCUGCGCUUGGCCAGUCACGGUAUCGCAACCCGAACUUGGGCAAGCUAGCUUCCUAGCGCGAGGGCUCAGAGGCGGAGCUGCAAGGCAUGGAGGAGGAGCUCCGGGUGAGAGCCAGCGCCGUCGCCGAGUACGCCGCCUGGGAUGACUUCGUCUUGGAGCGGGGUGAGAACGGCGGCGUGAUCGCUGAGGAUCUGCACGGCCUUCAGCCUUACGACGUCGAUGGCAGCGCCGAAGAAGCGACCUGGGCUGCGGAAUCUGUAGCCGCCUCCAGCAGUGGGGCGUAUGCCGACUCUGGGAUCAGCGGAGCCGGGGGCCGCAACGGGGGAGACGGCGCAUCCACCUCGGGAGGAGCCGGAGGCGGCGAUGCCACCACAUCAGGAGCGGCAGCCGAGACGACCCUUGAGGCCGUUGUCCCAUAACUAGUGUCCUUUUGUGUUUUUUGUUCUACCCCCGGAGAGAUGUAUCGAACGUGGGCCGUGGGCCAAUGCUUUUUAUGAAUGUAUAUAUUCAGCAUUAUAUUCGUCGCCAAGCGUGUUGUCUUAUGAUCCCGUCUUUUGAUUCCUGGUUGAGUUCUCUUAUCCGAAGCCAUCAAGACGUAAAGAACAAGACAUAAGCCAAUCAGAGGUCGGCUAGAAUGAACCAACUCGAGCCGGUCGUCACUAGUAUAGCCGGACUGUGCAUGUAUUCGACCUGACCCAGCGUCACACCGCGAACCGAGCGAUCGGAGCUUGCCCGCAGGUUCAAGCGAUGGACCGGGAUUCAACCUGUACACUAUGUGCCCGACUACAAGGAUUGACCGUCCGAGCGGCUGGCGAGCCCCCGAGCUUGUUUGAAGCUAGCAAGGGGCCGCACGGCGUAGCCUCCGGGCUUAAGCAAGCCAGGAAGAGGUGGUACGCGGUGUAGCCCGUACACUGAGUGAAAACUCUUUUACUAAGAGAAAGCAAGGAGCCUGCUUUUUCUGCGUAGCCUCCGAGCUUAAGCAAGCCAGCAAGAGGUGGUACGCGGUGUAGCCCGUACACUGAGUGAAAACUCUUUUAGCAAGAGAAAGUAUGGAGCCUGCUUUUUUCGCCAUAUUUGUUGUUCCCGGCAGUCAGAGACCGUCUUGAGUCUUGAAGGAGAUCGUAUAUACGAUCGAGCCGGCCCGAGCCGGCCGUUCCAAGUAUAGCCGGACUGUGCAUGUAUUCGACCUGACCCUGCGUCACAUCGCGAACCGAGCGACCGGAGCCAGCCCGCAGGUUCAAGCGAUGGACCGGGAUUCAGCCGGUACACUAUGUGCCCGACUACAAGGAUUUGACCGUCCGAGCGGCUGGCGAGCCCCUGAGCUUGUUCAAAGCUAGCAAGGGGGCUGCGCUGCGUAGCCUCCGGGAUUAAGCAAGCCCGCAAGAGGUGGUACGCUGUGUAGCCCAUACACGGGAGUGAGAACUCUUGAUAAAAAAGAAACAUGGAGCAUGUCCUUUUUAUUGCCUUCUUCGUUCCCCGAGGAGGGAGGAAGACACAUGUGUAUGCUCUUUCCUUUGCUUGUCUUCCACCUUUUAGCAAUAGAACGGGUGAAGCAAUGCCGCGUUCCAUGGGCGCUCCGUUUCUUGGCCGGAGUCAUCCCUCUUGCGCUUCCUUGGCUUCUGGGCGUCAAUCAGGUAGUACGCAUUGUUGUGUAACGCCCCACUGAUGAUGAAGGGUCCCUCCGAGGGGGUGAGAGCUUGUGUUGGCCGGAAGUGCGCUGGAUUCUUCUGAGGACCAAGUCUCCCUCCCUGAAAGAGAGGGCCCUGAUCCUUUUGCUGUGGUAAUAUCUCAGCUGUUGUUGGUAGAUGGCCGUCCGGUUCAAAGCCAAGUCCCUUGCAUCCUCGAGGAGAUGCACACCAUCUUCUCUGGCCUCCUUCGCUUCCGUUUUUGUGUAUAGGGUGACCCGAGGCGAGUCGAAUUCGAAAUCCAUGGGGAUGAUAGCCUCAGACCCGUAUACCAGAAAGAAUGGAGUGAAACCGGUCGACCGGUUGGGCGUGGUGCGGAGGCUCCAUAGUACAGCCGGCAGUUCUUCGAUCCAGCAGUCGGCUGACCUGACCAGUGGUGCUACCAGCCUUGGCUUGAUGCCGGCUAGGAUCAGGCCGUUGGCCCUCUCUGCUUGGCCGUUUGACUGGGGGUGUGCCACUAAGGCCAGGUCGAGCCGGAUGCCUACCUUGGAACAGUAGAGCGCCAGGGCGCCCUUGGUGAAGUUGGUGCCGUUGUCGGUGAUGAUGUUGUGCGGAACGCCAUACCGGACACAGAUGUCUGUGAUAAACAUGACGAUAGUGGGGCCGUCAAGCUUCUUGAUAGGCCUGGCUUCGAUUCACUUGGUGAACUUGUCGACGGCUACCAGAAGAUGCGUCAUUCCUCCACGAGCCGUCUUGAAGGGCCCAACCAUGUCCAGUCCCCAGACCGCGAAUGGCCAUGACAAGGGAAUGGUUUUCAUCGCUGAAAGUGGCAUAUGGCUUUGUGCACUGAAGCAUUGGCAGCCUUCACAUUUGUCCACCCGAUCCACAGCCUCCUCGAGGGCCGUGGGCUAGUAGAGUCCAUGGCGGAAUGCUUUGGCCACCAGGGUUCUGGAGGCGGCAUGAUGCCCGCACUCCCCCUGGUGGAUGUCUCUGAGGAUAUCCUGCCCUUUUUCUGAUUCGACGCAGCGUUGGAACACGCCGGUUGUGCUGCGUCGCACCAGUUCGCAUUGAUGAUGGCGUAGGCGGUGGACCUGCGCUGGGUCUGUCUCGCCUCCGCCUCAUUCUGAGGACGUUCGCCGCGAAGAAGGAAAGCCAGAAUGGCCUGGGCCCAUGAUGGAGCCGACACAAGGGUCGCCUCCGCUUCGUAUUGACUGUUGGGGGCUUCUGCAGCCCCCGAGCUUGAUGGCGUCUCCGGUGCUAUUGUUGCAGCCGGCUCCUCGUCUAUCUCCAUGACGUCCACCCACUGGGAGGAUUCGAGCCCGGGCAAAGCCGGGGUUGUCGUUGUAGCUGGUGCUCUUGUUUGAGUCGGGUGGACCAAUGGAGCCGGAUUAGGAUCCGAGGCCGGCAUAGUUGGUGGAGCUGACGGCGCUUGCACCGUAGAUUCAGUCGGUGCCAUAUUUGGAGCAUGUGCUGCCACUGCAGCCGGCGUGGGGUCCGUAGCCUGCAUAACUGGCGGAGACAGCGGCGCUUGUAUCGUACAGUCGGCUGGUACGAAGAUUGAUGCCCACUCCGGAGACGGCUUGAUAGACGGCUUGUGGAGUUGCUCGAGGGAGACGCCGGCUGGGAUGGCCUGCCUUGUGGAGCCGAUCUUUGCCAGCAUAUCUGCCGCCUCAUUCUCCGCCCUGGGAACGUGGUGGAACUCACAACCCUCGAAGGGGCCGCUGAGCCACUGGAUGAGGAAGCGGUAACUUGCCAUGUUGGCGUCCCUGGCGUCCCAUUCGCCAGAGACCUGCUGCACCACCAGGUCCGAAUCGCCGAAGCAUAUGAGCCGCCGGAUGCCAAUCUCCUUGGCAAGCCGGAGGCCGUGGGCCAGUGCUUCAUAUUCGGUGACGUUGCUGGAGGCGGCGAAGUNNNNNNNNNNNNNNNNNNNNNNNNNNNNNNNNNNNNNNNNNNNNNNNNNNNNNNNNNNNNNNNNNNNNNNNNNNNNNNNNNNNNNNNNNNNNNNNNNNNNAUUAUUUUCAUUGGAGUUACAGAUUAAUUUCUAUGAAUUUUUGAAGUUUUAAACAUUUCUGGAAUUAUUUUUAUACUCGAAAGUACUUUUACUGCAUCAGCAUGACAUCAGCAGGUCCAACUGGCCGUUGAAAGUCAAACCUGACCAGUGGGACCCACUGGUCAGUGUCUCUGGUCAGUUUUGGAUUAAGAUUAAACUUAAUUAGCUGAUUAAUCUUACUGGUCCCACAUGUCAGUGACUUAUUAAAUUAUCUGAUUUAUUUUUAUUUUUUCUAAACUGUCCAGAGGCUGGCCCCACACGUCAGGGGCUCAGGCCAGCUAAGAUCCACCGGCCGCGAGGUCGUCCUCGCCGGCGGGGAGCCUCCGGCGACCGCCAGAACGUCGGGGGGGCUCGAAAAUGGCGCACAGAGGGCCAAACUCGGCGCGGAGAGCACCAGAGGAACGGCCACUUGAUGGCGCGCACGAUGGGACAAGCCCCAGGGGCUGGGGUGGCCGGAAUCAACGCCGGCGACGAGCUUGGUGGCGACCAAGUUCGGCCAUCGUGGAAGCCAUUGAAUAGGGGGUCAAAACGCGCGGGGCUGGGCACCUAACCUAUCUACAUGAUGUCUUGAGGCUGUUGGUGGCCUCAGACGGACCAACCCGUCACGGGAGGGCUACCGGCGACGAGCUGCAGCGGCAGUCUUCGUCGGGCUCCGAUAGAACUAAGCCUAGAGGAGGGGAUCGAUGGGGAGAGCUUAGGGGAAAUGACUGCAUGCUCACGAGGAGUGCAGUGGUGGCGCUAGUUUGCUCGGGGACCGCCUGGAGAGGGAGAACGCCGGCGGCGAUCUUCGGUGACCCGAGGAAGAAGACGACAGCUGCUCGUCGUUUCACUGCAUCUCAGCGUCGGGCUCGGGGCUAGGAAGCUUCAGGGAGGUGCGGUGGACCUACUGCGUGGCUCAGGAGGGAGAAGGGUCGGCUAGAUCGACGGCGAGCUCGAGCUCUGCUCGGGCUCCAAUGGCGGCAGAAGGAGGGAGAAGAGAUCCGAGAGGAGGGGGGGAACUGGCGCUGGGAAUGGAUAGCCACGGGCUCGGGGAGCUUAUCCCCGGGCUUGCCAGCGCGAGACGGUGGCCAGGCAGGCGCACAGGUGCGUGGCCACGCCGGAGUACGUGGCGGCCACCUCCUGCUGCCCACUGGCGGGGGAGGAAGACGACAGGAAUUGCUGGGCCGGGCCAGGUUAGGCGACAGGUAAGGAUUUUUCAAUUUUUUUCUGUUUUUGUUUCUGUUUUGCUAUUUCACUGAUUUUCUAUUUAUUUCAGCUCCCAAAUAAAUUGAAAAAACUAUGUUGAGCACCCUAGAAUAUUUGUUGGAAUAUUUCCAACCAUUCCUAAAGUUUUCAACAUUUUUGAAAGUUUAAAAUUUCUGAUUUCAAAUUUAAAACUUGAAACCAGUAGCUUUUUGCAUUUAUUUAAAAUGCUUAAAGUGUCAAGAAAAUGGUUUUCUUCAUUGCUCAUUUACUUUCCUGAUUUAUCAGAAAGUUUGAACUUUCCUUGAGGCCAUUUUGGGUUCGUUGAUUUUAGCUAGUUUGAAAUUUCCUUUAUUUAAAGAAGUGGCUAGGGUUUGAGUUUUUCCUUCACAUCUUUCUUUGUUCUUGUUGAAAAUUUCUUGGAUGCAAUGCAAAGAAGACAUGAGCACAAGACUAACUUGCUUAAGGUGUCAGGGAUGUGACAACUCACCCCCACUCAAAGGAAUCUCGUCCCGAGAUUUAGAAGUCGUCGGGAAUAACGCAGGAUACUCAAGUCGGAGACGAUCCUCUCUUUCCCAAGUUGCCUCCUUUUCAGAAUGAUUUGACCAUUGAACUUUAAGAAACUUGAGGUUUCAACGUCGAGUGGUACGCUCAGCUUGAUCAAGAAUACGCACGGGGUAUUCUCGGUAUGAAAGGUUAUCUUGGAGAUCAAGCGUUUCGUGGUCCACUUCGCGGAUAGGAUCCGAAAAGCAACGCCUGAGUUGCGAGACGUGGAAGACAUCAUGAGCCUUGGAAAGUUGUGGAGGAAGUUCCGACUGGUAGGCAACUUCUCCUCGUUUGGCAAGAAUGUGAAAAGGACCAAUGUAACGAGGAGCCAACUUGCCCUUGAUACCGAAACGAUGGGUACCCUUCAAAGGUGUAACCCGAAGGUAAGCCUUCUCGUCAACUUCAAAGGUCACAGCCUUAUGAUGACGAUCAUAUUGGCUCUUUUGACGAGACUGGGCUGUUUUCAACUUUUCACGAAUAAUGCGAACCUGCUCUUCUGCAUCCUGGAUCAUAUCCGGGCCAACGAGUUGCCUCUCUCCGGUUUCUGACCAAUUAAGAGGUGUUCGACAUCUUCGUCCAUAGAGAACUUCAAAAGGGGCUUUGCCCAAGCUUGAUUGGUAACUAUUGUUAUAAGCGAAUUCGGCGAAUGGAAGGCACUUCUCCCAAUUCAUACCGAACGAUAUAACACAAGCUCGGAGCAUAUCUUCUAGGAUUUGAUUCACUCUUUCUACUUGACCACUUGACUGGGGAUGGAAAGCAGUGCUAAAAGAUAAGUGAGUCCCCAUGGCAUUCUGAAAACUUUCCCAGAAGCAAGAAGUAAAGAUACUUCCACGGUCCGAGUUAAUCUCCAGGGGAACACCAUGAAGAGACACUAUUCGGGAGAUAUAUAACUCUGGUAGCUGGUUGGCUGUUAUACUCUCACGAACAGGAAGAAAAUGAGCCACUUCGGAAAGACGGUCAAUGACCACAAAGAUAGCAUUAUUUCCUUUCUUGGUCUUGGGAAAUCCGGUAAUGAAAUCCAUGCUAACUUUAUCCCAUUUCCAUUCAGGAAUAGCUAGGGGUUGAAGGGUGCCAGCAGGCCUUUGAUGUUCUGCCUUAACUCGACGACAAACGUCGGAGUUAGCAACGAACUCAGCAAUUUCUCUCUUCAUCCUAGUCCACCAGAACCUCUGGCUUAGAUCCUGAUACAUCUUAGUACUACCGGGAUGAAUGGUGAGAGGAGAAUCAUGAGCCUCCUUAAGGAUUAACUUCCUUAGAUGUGGGUACUUAGGAACCACUAGACGAUUCUGGAAGAACACAACACCUUGAUCGUUCAUGGAAAAUUCUUUAGCAUUUCCGCUAAAAAUAUUAUCCUUGAUCCAUGAUAUACCCUUGUCACGCUUUUGGCCAGCUAUAAUUUGAUCCUUAAGAGUAGGCUUCGCCACCAGGGCAGAAAGGAAUCCUUGAGGAACAAUAUGAAGAUUCAACUUCCGAAAGUCCUCAUGGAGAUGUGGUUGACCUUGUUGUAGCAUCAAAUUGUUACAAUAAGAUUUACGACUUAGUGCAUCGGCCAUAACAUUGGCCUUCCCCGGGGUGUAAGUUAUCCCUAAGUCGUAAUCCGAGAUCAACACAACCCACCGUCUUUGCCUGAGAUUCAUAUCCGGUUGGGUGAAAAUACAUUUCAGACUUUGGUGAUCAGUGAAUAUUUCGCAACAAUUACCCAGAAGGUAAUGUCGCCAAGUUUUUAGUGCAUGGACCACAGCUGCAAGCUCAAGGUCAUGUGUGGGAUAAUUAUCCUCAUGUGGACGCAACUGUCGAGAUGCGUAUGCAAUCACAUGACGAUCUUGCAUGAGAAUGCAACCUAAUCCUUCUCGCGAGGCGUCGCAAUAGAUAACAAAGUCCUUAGAAAAAUCUGGUGGUAGCAACACAGGUGCGGAAGUCAGGCGUCUUUUCAGUUCCUAAAAACUAUGCUCACACUGUGGUGUCCACUCGAACUUUUUAUCCUUCUUGAGGAGUUCAGUUAGAGGCUUUGCAACCUUGGAGAAAUUCUCGACAAAGCGGCGACAAUAGCUCGCUAGACAAAGAAAACUCCUAACUUGCUUAACCGAUUCAGGUUGAGUCCAAUCAAGGACAUCUUGAACUCUCUCAGGAUUGACAGCAAUACCCUUACCAGAGAUUACGUGUCCUAGAUAGGUCACUUCUGGUAACCAGAAUUCACAUUUUGAAAACUUGGCAUAAAGGCGAUGCCCUCGAAGUUUCAUCAAUACCAGCCUUAGAUGCUCGGCAUGUUCUUGUUCAUUCUUCGAGUAGAUGAGAAUAUCAUCGAGGUAUACCACGACGAAUUUAUCCAAAUACUCCAUGAAUAUUGAAUUCAUCAGACGAGAGAAGGUGGCUGGGGCAUUGGUUAACCCGAAGGAAAUGACGGUGUACUUGUAUUGGCAUAACGAGUAACAAAAGCCGUUUUUGGAAUGUCCCCGUUCUUGAUCUUGAUUUGAUGGUAUCCCAACCUCAAAUCAAUUUUGGAGAAGACUGAGGAUCCAGCGAGCUGAUCCUACAGAUCGUUGAUCCUGGGGAGCGGAUACUUGUUCUUUAUGGUGACCAGAUUAACUGGUCGGUAAUCUACAACCAUCCGAUCCGUUCCGUCUUUCUUCUUGACGAAGAGGACGGGGCAAGCCCAAGGAGAAGAGCUAGGACGAAUGAAACCUUUGUUCAAGGCCUCAUCUAAUUGCUUCUUAAGUUCAGCUAGCUCCAGGGGUGCCAUCCUAUAAGGUCUUCUGGCUAUUGGGACAGUUCCCGGAACAAGAUCUAUCACGAACUCUACAUCUCUGUCAGGUGGAAUUCCUGGCAGUUCCUCUGGAAAGACAUCCGAGAAGUCACGAACUACCGGAAUGUCUUCAAGUUCCGGAAGAGGGUUGGCAUUUAGGGAAUAGAGUUGGCAUUUGGCAACUCGAGUAGAGACAUUUACUAUCUCACCCGAGGGAUGGGUAAGUUGGACAUUUCUAGAAUGGGUAUCAAUCUUGGCAUAGUGAGCUGACAUCCAGUCCAUGCCCAAGAUGAUAUUAAUAUCCGAAGAUUUCAAUGAUAUCAAUGAGGCUAGAAAAACUAGCCUGUCUACUAGAAUUUCAUUGUCAUAGGUUAUCCUAGAGGUUUGCCAUUUACUACCAGGAGUUUGGACAACCAAAGGAAUUGGCAUAUCACAAAAAGACAUGUUAUGCAACUGUGCAUAACUUUCUGAGAUGAAGGAAUGAGAAGACCCAGUGUCAAAGAGAACGGAUGCUGGGUGAUGAUUAACAAGAAGCAUACCCAGCAUGACGUCGGGAUCCUCUGCAGCUUCUUCUGCUGACACAUAGUUCACACGGCCACGUGCAGGAGUUGGCUUCACAUAGUAAGCUUUGCCCGACUUGGCUUGCCCGGCGGACUUUCCGGGUUGCUUAGCACCCACAUUCUGAGGACACUCAUGGGGAUAGUGCCCUGGUUCUCCACACUUGUAGCAUAUCACUUGGUUGGCACGUGGUGCAGCAUUGCUAGCUGAACCACCAUAACCUUUGGCUGGAGGGUUGGCCUGAUUCGUCUGAGGCGCCACGUAGGAUGGCCUCGGAGUGUAUCUUGGCGGGAGAGAACUGUUCGGAACCCACAGCCUGCGUUUGGGAAACGCGGAACCAGAAGACGAGCCAAAGUCACGGGAGUGCUUCCUUGUGGCUUCAAAGUCAGUAUGACCAGUCUCGGCACUGAUCGCCUUGUUGACCAGAGCUUGAAAGCUUGCACACUCGUGGAGGCGCAGAUCACGACGAAGCUCAGGGCUCAGACCCUUACGGAAUCUUGCUUGCUUCUUGGCAUCAGUAGACACCUCCUCUGUUGCAUAGCGGGCGAGGUUACUGAACUCGCAGAUAUAGGCAUCCACAGACAACUUGCCCUGAGUGAAGGCACAUAACUCCUCUCUCUUUCUGUCCAUCAGGCCCUCUGGAAUAUGGUGCAGACGAAAAGCUGCACUGAAGUCUGCCCAUGUGGCUACUAGUUCAGCGGGACGCAUAGCUUCAAAGUUCUCCCACCAUAGAUUGGCGGGUCCCUCCAGGAAAUACGCCGCAAAGGUCACCUUGUCGGCCUCAGACACAUUCGUAGAGCGAAUCUUGCGUGAGAUGCUGCACAGCCAGUCAUCAGCGUCGAGGGGAUCGACGGAAUGAUGAAACUUUAGAGGAUUCAGCUUCACAAAGUCAUUGAGGGACACUGCAGCAUUCCUAGGCUGACGAGCCGUAUUCUGCUCAAUACGCUCUAACAGUCGGUUGGUCUCCCUUUUAUUUCUCUCUGCCUCAAGCAUCACUUCCGCCAGAGAGGGCGGGUGAGGCAGGUCUUCCUGCGACGCUUGACUACCCUCGCUUUGCUCAUGACCAGGGGCACGGCUCAACCUGGUGAACACCAUCCUGACAAACAAACUCACAGCUUAGACCAAUAUCACAUCAAUACUAGCUAUGCAUUAAGAAUGUACUGAACACACGGAAUGGGGAAAUGAAUAUCCGAACAGCAUGGUAACAAGCAACUGCUAUAUAUACACCAUGGUUCAUACACACCCUUACAUAGUUCAGUACAACCUUAACUGAAGAGCAAACUACUGAAAUUAUGAAACUACUCAUCAGAGGCUUACAAGCUUCCUAUACAUUAUUUAUCUAGGCCUCCGGAAUUCAUUUCACAUUACAGGCAUACUUCACAAGUCACGCAGGACUGUGAACGUACGGCUACUACCAUACUAUCCUUCCGCUCACAGCUCAGGCAUCCGCAUAGAACAUCUCAUAGAGAUUACCUCCAUGACCUGGAAGCUCAACCUGCGGAUCAGGAAACACUCUAGCGUGAGAUCCCUGGGAUCCAUAAGGACACGGAUGUGGCCUUGGUCCCCUGACUGGUGGUAAGAGGGGUCCCCGAAGAGAUGUGACUCCUCCUAUAGCUGGCCAGUCAACGUGAGCUGGAAGAUGGGUCCUAACAGGGUUCAGCAUCUCCAUAUCUCCGUACCCUGUCUGGACUACCGGUGCCAGCUGCGUCAAAGCCAUCCACAGACGGGCACGGGUAGCAUAAAGCUCCAUGCGGAGAGCACGAGCAUCCCUGUCUCUGUUCUCUAGCAUCUCAACAAUGGACUACAGUAGUGGAUCCUCCAUAGAAGAAUCAAAAUAGACUCCACUGAGGUAUCCCUCUUCACCAGGCUGAGAGGCCGAAACAUAGUAGCACUCUGAAUUAUGCAACAGUGCAUGUCUCGCUCUCAUAAUGGUCAGCAUUGAAUAAGCAGCAUCUUGUACUGCCAUGUCAACAGUGACCCCCAACCCAUAGGACCAAUGGAUUGGCUCCUCAGCUCCAGGGUAGUCUGGAAAUACCCUAACAGUGCAGAUGUACUGGCUCUGGUUGAAGUCUCGGUACUGUUCCUCCACUGUGUACUCCGGGUACCAGCGGUAACCGCACACCGACAUCAUCCUGACCAGCAUGGCCGUAUGACCCAGUACAUCAAUGCACCUGGUCAGACGUACCACCUGACGAGAAGGACGGCCAGGCAUCUGUAAAUAGAGAGCAAUGCAAAAGCAUUAGAGCUCUGAAUGCAAAAUUGGGCAGCAUAACGGCUGUAAAUGCUCAAAAACAAAUUUUGAGACAACCCAAAAUGGAAUAGCAUAACCACUCGACUAUCAAGUUCAACUCUCUGGUCAUCAAACUUACUUCCUUUUUCCUAGGAAUGAAGGAAACCCAAAUAUCUCUUGACCCAUAGUCCUAUAAUCUACCGAUCAGAAACACGAGCCUAGAAGAAGAUGAGUAACCUAGUCCUUAAUUCCCACAGAAAAGACGAGGAUGACCAGAGUAGAAUAACUUGAGAAGAGAACAAGAGUCUUACGUUUCCCUCCACAAACAAUUCCCUUAUAUAUAACUAAAGCAAUUCUAGACUCAACUUCGACCAGUUUGGCUUAGUAAUUCUACAGUCAGUCAGGCUCUGAUACCAACGCUGUCGGGACCCCGAUCCUAAGUCAUAGGAAUCCAGCCUGUAACACAUCGCAUCUCUUUGCGGUCUCACGCACGGUUAACUCCACGGCUGCAGCCUUACCUUAGCCGGGACCAUUUGCGUCUUUUGACUCACGUAUGCAAUAGUGUCGCUAGCAUUCCAAUGUCAAAGAACCCGGAUCGACAAUUCUAGUCACAAACCAAAGUGGCAGUACCGCACAAGGACAAGCAUACAUGACCCAACAAAGCAGGUGUCGGUCACCAGCGAGUGUAGACGAGUCGUAGCAAGCUACAAGGACUCCAUUACAUCGCGUGACGUUUCCCCAAAGGGGACAGACACAGCAGCUAAGAAGGACACAUGCCGGUCAACCAAUGUGUCCGGAGCAGUAGCGAACUACCAUGGCUCGUUGGAUCACAAAGGGGCAUUUCCUUGUAAGGAGUGCUACUAAAGUUCACAACUAGGUAAUCGAACCCCAUACAUAUCAAGUACGACACACGUACGCAUGGCAUAUCGAUAUGUAUAGAUACAUCGAUGGCAUCACAACAUAACCAUAACAUAUAAACUUUAUUUAAGAGGCUCGGAAGAGCCUCACACAUAAUAUUACACAUUAAGGGUCUCACGACCCAUAAUAGCAGUCAUUCAGUUACAAGCCAGCGGAAGAGCUUAAAACUGUCUGAGUACAGAUAGGUGCAACUAGAAGGCACAUGGCCUGACUAUACUACAGACCCAACCUAGGGACAGAUCGUAGCUGGGACACCAGCUACUCGUCGCCGUCGAUGUCUACGAAGAACCCUCCAUUAGGGUCAUUAGCAACCUCUGCAACAUUUAUUAAGAAACCAUGAGUAAGAAGGUACUCAGCAAGACUUUAGGAUAAGUAUCUACUCAUGCAAGGUAUCAAUAAGGUAUUGUGGGGUUUCAUGCGGAAAGCCAGCAUUUGACUCGUGGCUAGACAACUUACAUUUUUAAAUCAUUUUGACAACUUGAUUUCUCGCACACGAGUCCACUAACUACCACAACAAUACACCAUCGUGGAAUCAUUCUGUCUCCAUACGGAAAUGCCGUCCACGACACUCACGCUUAUCUUGACAAUUUUAUGAGUAGGCAUUGAAGUUAUCUAUGAACAACAUAUGUCUCCAAGUAGUCCAUAACCGCGGACGCGGCUAUUCGAAUAGAUCAUAACCCUGCAGGGGUGUACUUCCUCACACACGCUCUCGCCACUUAUCGCCAUGUGCACGUCAUGCACCUCGGCAACCUUCAAGCGGAAGCCCAGCGAGGGAGUCGGCCACGACCGUUAACCACACUAGUACCUAGUCCAGGUUUAUCGCCUAUCUGAGAGUAACCCGUACGGAAGUCCGGCCGAGGUUUCCGACACGGCCUCAAACGAUGUGCGCAGGGUUCCAAAGCCCACCAUCCGGGUGCCACUGGGUACACCGUGCCACUGCCUACCGCAUCACAGCCCACCUCUCAGGUCAGCACCAUGCACGGCCUCCAGCAUUACUAUAAACACCAGAAACUACUUGCAACUCCUGGACCGAGUACUAAGCGAUUAAUAGGGCGAGCGGGGUCAUAUUUCAGGGCCCAGCAUGUGGUAGUAUUUUGUCUUGGAUUACAUACACGGAACUUAGUUCCUAAGGACGGUUCCAAUGAAACAACCCGCCAUGGACUCCUACACAGCCUUUCACCGGUACCUUUACCAACUCAAGUUUAACACACAACCUUUGCUUACCGAACACAUUCUCACAAUUCUGGUCAUCUCCCACAUGACAGACCAUACACAACUCUAAGCAUAGCAUGCAUAGCAGGAUAAGUCACAUCAUUGCUCAAGCAACUACCAGGUAUGCUAGGUUGCAAGGUUCGGCUAUUUACUGUGACAAGGAUAGGUCAUGCAAAGGAAGUGGGUUCAACUAACGUGGCAAAAGUAGUUGAAGCAUUUGAUCCUAAUGCAAUAAAUAAGUGCAGGAGCAAGAACAUGGGAUUUAUCGGUAUGAUCAAAAUGGUUGCUUGCCUUGUUGCUCAUAGGAGGGACAAUAUUCGUCAGACGGAUAUUCGGUGGAAUCCAGGGGUGCGGAGCCUACCGAAAGAAAUGACAACAAUCAAUNNNNNNNNNNNNNNNNNNNNNNNNNNNNNNNNNNNNNNNNNNNNNNNNNNNNNNNNNNNNNNNNNNNNNNNNNNNNNNNNNNNNNNNNNNNNNNNNNNNNUUAUUUUCAUUGGAGUUAUAGAUUAAUUUCUAUGAAUUUUUGAAGUUUUAAACAUUUCUGGAAUUAUUUUUAUACUCGAAAAUACUUUUACUGCAUCAGCAUGACAUCAGCAGGUCCAACUGGCCGUUGAAAGUCAAACCUGACCAGUGGGACCCACUGGUUAGUGUCUCUGGUCAGUUUUAGAUUAAGAUUAAACUUAAUUAGCUGAUUAAUCUUACUGGUCCCACAUGUCAGUGACUUAUUAACUUAUCUGAUUUAUUUUUAUUUUUUCUAAACUGUCCAGAGGCUGGCCCCACACGUCAGUGGCUCAGGCCAGCUGAGAUCCACCGGCGGAGAGGUCGUCCACGCCGGCGGGGAGCCUCCGGCGACCGCCAGAACGUCGGGGGAACUCGGAAAUGGCGCACAGAGGGCCAAACUCGGCGCGGAGAGCACCAGAGGAACGACCACUUGAUGGCGCGCACGAUGGGACAAGCCGCAAGGGCUGGGGUGGCCGGAAUCAACGCCGGCGACGAGCUUGGCGGCGACCAAGUUCGGCCAUCGUCGAAGCCAUCGAAUACAGGGUCAAAACGCGCGGGGCUGGGCACCUAACGCAUCUACAUGAUGUUCUGAGGCUGUUGUUGGCCUCAGACGGACCAACCCGUCACCGGAGGGCUACCGGCGACGAGCUGCAGCGGCGGUCCUCGUCGGGCUCCGAUGGAACUAAGCCUAGAGGAGGGGAUCGAUGGGGAGAGCUUAGGGGAAAUGACUGCAUGCUCUCGGGGAGUGCAGUGGUGGCGCUAGUUUGCUCGGGGAUGGCCUGGAGAGGGAGAACGCCGGCGGCGAUCUUCGGUGACCCGAGGAAGAAGAUGACAGCUGCUCGUCGUUUCAAUGCAUCUCAGCGUCGGGCUCGGGGCUAGGAAGCUUCAAGGAGGUGCGGCGGACCUACUGCGUGGCUCGGGAGGGAGAAGGGUCGGCUAGAUCGACGGCGAGCUCGAGCUCUGCUUGGGCUCCAAUGGCGGGAGAAGGAGGGAGAAGAGAUCCGAGAGGAGGGGGGAACUGGCGCUGGGAAUGGAUAGCCACGGGCUCGGGGAGCUUAUCCCCGGGCUUGCCAGCGCGAGACGGCGGCCAGGCAGGCGCACAGGUGUGUGGCCGCGCCGGAGUACGCGGCGGUAACCUCCUGCUGCCCACUGGCGGGGGAGGAAGACGAAAAGAAUUGCUGGGCAGGGCCAGGUUAGGCGACAGGUAAGGAUUUUUCAUUUUUUCUGUUUUUGUUUCUGUUUUGCUAUUUCACUAAUUUUCUAUUUAUUUCAACUCCCAAAUAAAUUGAAAAAAACUAUGUUGAGCACCCUAGAAUAUUUGUUGGAAUAUUUCCAACCAUUCCUAAAGUUUUCAACAUUUUUGAAAGUUUAAAAUUUCUGAUUUCAAAUCUAAAACUUGAAACCAGUAGCUUUUUGCAUUUAUUUAAAAUGCUUAAAGUGUCAAGAAAAUGGUUUUCUUCAUUGCUCAUUUACUUUCAUGAUUUAUCAGAAAGUUUGAAAUUUUCUUGAGGCCAUUUUGGGUUCAUUGAUUUUAGCUAGUUUGAAAUUUCCUUUAUUUAAAGAAGUGGCUAGGGUUUGAGUUUUUCCUUCACCUCUUUCUUUGUUCUUGUUGAAAAUUUCUUGGAUGCAAUGCAAAGAAGACAUGAGCACAAGACUAACUUGCUUAAGGUGUCAGGGAUGUGACAUUUUCUCCCAUCCACUGUGAUGAAGGAGGACGUCUUGGAUCUCGCGGAGCAUGGGAUGGUGGUCGAGAAAUCAUGGAGAUUGCUAGAGGGGGAGCUUAAGCCGGUGCCUCGUGAGGGGGAGCAAGUCCUUCUCCUCACACACAUCGAAUGGUUUUUCUCUCCCUCCGGACCCUUUUAUUCAGGGCUUCCUCUUUUACUUCGGGCAUGGCUUCACCAUCUCCCACCGAAUACCAUUGCGUACCUUUCUCCGUUCAUCACUUUGUGCGAGUGUUUUCGGGGCUGUCCUCCUCACUUGGGAUUGUUCAAGCAUAUAUUCACUACACUAUCUCAAACGGUGAAAGAAGUGAACCCAGGUGAUACUAGGACCAACGUCAUACAGUUGUGUGGCGGUUUAGGAAUACAGAAAAGAGGUAGGAGCGCCUAUCCCCAUAUGACCCUUCCUGAAUCGGUCCGGAAUUGGCAGUCGACAUGGUUCUAUUGCAACGAUAUCGCAUCUCCGAACAUGUCGACUGGCCUCCCUCCUUUCACCUUAUAUCAUCCGACUGCCCCUAGAAUACUGAUUGUAUUCGAGGAUGAGAAGGCAGAGGUGGAGAUGUUGGUGGGUGAGGUGAUCCACUUGGUCCGGAAUGGACUGACUGGAAUGGAUCUGUUGGAGACGUUCCUUAGUCGGCGCAUCCAGCCUCUUCAGGCGAGGGACCAUGCCAGGUGGCAUUACUCCGGCCCUGAAGAUUCCACUCGGUCACAUCCUAAGGAAGUUUCAGAGCAUCAUCGGGCCCUGCGAUAAUCCCAUGGGAUCCAAACGAGUCGUGCCUUACUCUACUGAGAAUAAGCCGCGGAAACUGGUAUGUGAUAUCUUUUCUGAUUAUGUUCAUGUCUUCGUCAAGUGACUGCUUACUUGUCCAACUGACUCUGCUGUCUUUGCUCUUUGUAGGAGUGGAUGAACCUGCACUCUCCUGUACCCAACGGAGAGCAUUUUGAUCUCGGGUGGAGAGUGAAGGUGGCAGCGCCGGCAGUGUGUAUGUUGAGGAUAGUGAAGAGAGUGAAGAUGCCUGAGAAGACAGCGAAGAAGAAAUACAGUCUCCUCCACGCCACAAACAUGAUCCAAACAACACCAUGACCCAGCGACUGCUCCGUGCAAAACGGUCGCCUCCAGCAGCAGGAAUGUGAAAUGUGACCAAGCCACUUCAACUGACUCCUCGAAGAAGACUGCGAAGCAUCCCAAGCGUGAUGCGCCCAAGCUUCGGAAGGUUUUGCCCCGAAUGAGAAUCGUUGUGCUGGUUGCCUCAUCGUGAGUAUUCGUCCUUUUCAUUUUGCCAUUAUGUCUUUCUGGGUUUUAGAUAACUGAGUGUAAUUCACUCGUGAGAAUCUACUUAGACGUCGUGGAUAAGCCUGCUCCUUGACCAGGUAUGAUAAGCAUUAAUUUUACUCCGUUUUAUGGAUUGGAUGUGUCGAAUGAUCUGGUCAUUACUGUUGCAGCUUGAGACAUCAUUUUCUUAGAUCACGAACAAGUGCCGCAGCAUAUAGCUGCAGAACAGACUCAAAC